CCUAUGUCAUCGUACGAUUAUUGUAAUCAGUAAAAGAUUUUCAUCGCAAGAUAUCAAGUCAUCACGCAGAUAAAUGCAUUAAUUAAACAAGACUGGAAAUGGAACAAAAGAAACAGAAUAUUUGACUUCACAGAGUACCACUAGAUACGGGGGAUAAAGGCCAUCAUGUAGGCAAAGGAACAAAAAUAGGGGAAAAAAGGAAAUAAAAGAGAUAUAGUGCAUCACUACCAACUUGAUAGUGAAAGAAUCCAUUGAAGAGUCGAAACCAUUGACAUCAUUACUGAUUGGUCUGUGAUGUCUCUUCAAAAGUUCCCACUUCAUUUCACGAAGGACGUCAUGGUGAGGUAUAUUGACCUGGAUCUCGACCUGAAAAUAGACCAAAGGCAUCCAUAACAUUUACAGAUUACAUAUAACAAAACCAUCAUCUGGAAAGAAAUGAUGUAGAACGUGUAUUCAGUAUCUUACUAAUUAACACUGGAUGACAGAUAAUUAAGUGGCUUGAGUCUUCAAGCAAACUUACUGAACAAAGAGAUUAUAAAUACUCAACUAAUUGCAAUUACUAUGCUCCCAUGAAAGACAUCCAACUUAUCAAAGAGGUUUUUAAGCAAGUGCUAGAUCAAAAGUAGUCUUGUUCAUGGAGUCAAAGGGAAAAUAGUUUUGUUACCAAAAACAAACUUCUAGUCAAAGUGUUAAAUCAAACUAAGAAGUGUGAAUUAAGCAACGGAAACGUUCUCCCAACAUAACAAAGCAAUCAUUGUGACUAUAGUGAACAGAAAUCCAAGACUGACCUGGUCGUGGAUGUUGGAUGAAAGUGUAAACCCAAAGUCAAGAAGCAGGGUAGCAUUUGAAAAUUUUCCGUAUCUUAUCAGUACCUAUACAAAUAUACAAAUCGCAGUCCAGAGUUACAACUUUAAACAACCACUUCUGCAAUAUAACCAUAGUCACGAACUGCUCCAGAGGAUGCUUCCAUGUACCAUCCAUUCAUACUAAUAAUAGGAAACCCCAAACUUCCAGUAAUUUCUAAAUAUUAAUUCCACAGCAUAUCUCAAGCAAUAUUGUGCUUUUUACUCUAACAUAGACCCUGUGUUCAUGUAUUGUGAUCCGUUAUCUGUUAACACACAAUGACCACUGAGGAAUAAAAAGUUUUACUAAUUCUUUGUCAUGAAAAUUUCAAACCCAACGAGAGACAUCUAAAACGAAAAUGAGUGAAAAUGUUAAUGAGUCGUCUACAAAAACAAAAAUUGAUCAAAUGUUUCAAAACAAAAAUGAAAUUCCAAAGGGUGCCUGUAAUUUUAAAUAGGGGAAAAAAGCCAUCUUAAUUAAGUAGCAUCUAACCUGUUCAUCAGGAGCAUAAUUGCGGUCAGCAAUGACCUGCCCAGAUAAAGAACAGGCAUGGAAAAUCAAGAACAUUGUUCACACAUAUCCCUGAUAUGUAUAAAUUUUAAAGGGAGCUAAAAACUGCAAAUACAAGUAGCAUAGCAUCCCAAUAAUUGAACUAAUAUAAAGCAAUAAAAACAUAAAAAAGACUCAAUUUCCAUAAGAGUGCGGAAUGAAGGGGAGAAUAUAAAAUUCUUGUACUCCUAUAACCAAAUCAAGAUGUGAGAUAGAGAAUCAAAACGCAGAGAGAGAGAGAGAGAGAGAGAGUACCUCUGAGAAAUGUUUGUCGUUGUCACUCAACACUAAUGAUUCUGAAGUGCCGUCAUGAUUCAAAAAAUCAGCAAAUGGGAUCUAUAAAAUAAAUUGAAAAUCCAAAAAUUCAUAAGUAAAAAGGAAAUAAUUGAACUUCCAUCAUAAAGCUCAUAACACUAUUUACAACAGAAUCUUUAUAAACGUGUUACCAGGGAAUAACCCUUCAUGCUUCCCCAUGCUCGAGAAGUAACUGCGAAAUCCACUGCGAACCAGUGAGAAUAAGUUGUAUAGAUCUUUAAGAGAUGCAACUGCUGCAACUAAUAAUAUCUAGAAUAGUUUGUAUCCAGGAAUCAUAUAAAAUCGGAAUGAAUAGGUAUAUAGGUAAAUGGAGAUAUAACUAACUAAACUAUAUGAAAUUGGAUUCCAUUGAACAUCUACACCGAUGCUGGCAUUCAUUCAUUUUAUUCAAAAAAUUGGAAUUAAGUACAAUUGAAGCAAAUUAUUCAGACAGUUCAGGACGUGAAAAUGCUUUAAAAUGGAGAAGCUCACCUAAAGCAUAUGCGUGCAUGAAAUCCUUAUAGGUGAUACUUUUGGACAUUUCAGGGAAGUUCUUGAAAGCCUGAAAAUAUGUCGUAGCAAUAAUUAGAAUCUAAAAGUUAAUAACUACGAAGUGAUUGACAAUCAUCUCAUAUCUCAGGUAAGUAUUGACUUGAUUAAGUUUCAAAAGUUAUUAAGUUGACGGGACCCCCACUAUUCCAAAUUCUGAAGAAUGUGUGCCACCAACAGUUUAAAUCCCGAAUUGAGAUGAUGAUAUUAAACUUAAAGCAUAUACAUGGCAGAGGUUCACGCAUGAACGUCCCAAAACCAUUAACCAGUGUAUAAAACAAUCAAGUACUUACCGUCCUAAUUGCCAAAAAUUCCUUUUUGAUUUGAGAUCUUUGAUUAAUUGUUUCCUGAUAUACAGAGCUUUGGCGAAUCAGCUCCAGCUCAUCGUCACUCCAAAAUAUCUAAGAAUAUACAAACAACAUCCAAGUCAAUAACAGCAAAUUCUUGCCAUUCAAAAAAAUGUGUACAACCAAACAAAUCAACUACAUGUAAGAACCAUUGCUCAGUUAAAUUCUUUUCCAUUCAUGUUCAACACAUGCUGUCUGAAUUGACCGUCUAACAACAUAACCUACCAAAUUAUCUCUAGGAAUGCAAAUGAUAAUAUCGUAUAACACUCACCGUGCAAUGCAUCUCCUCCGGGCGAGGAAGCCAGCGAAUGUAAGGGGCCCACCUGGAAUCCUGCAUAAACAAAACCCUCAAACUCCACAGAAAAAAUAUUUCCACAACAUAGUAAUUAAACUAGAACAGCAAUCUACAUUGCCCAUUCUCUGCUCAAACAAAACGACAGUGGCAAGCUUUGCAGCAUCGCCAACUCCAUCACUCAACAAAUCUUUCAGUUCCGGAACGAGAUCAUCCGGAGCUAGUUGCUGCAAUUAUCCACCAAAACAAAGCCUCUUAAAUCAUAUAUUAACAAUUUAAACUGUGAUUAAUAAUGUGAUUAAAGUCUUAAAUAAUUUGGGUUAAGAUUUACCACUCUGUACGGAACCUUCAAAACGCAAUCUCCAGCUGUUAUGCUCUUUGAAGCAAAAAGAGAAGUUCCGUACGCCGAUUUCCCAAUUGAAAGUGCCGACGAAAUCUCGGCGCCGGCCUUCCGCUCCAGCCACGGCAAGAAGUCGUCGGAUUCGACCUGGUAGAGAACGAUGAAUUGUUAGCAGGAGUUUGAUAUGUUUCGGUUUUUCCCGUGAUUGUGAAAUUCUCUGUUUGGCUUUUGGGAUACCUUGGGUUGGGACAAGGAGUGGAAGUUCAGCUUGAUACUUGGAGUGUAGGAGAGGCUGAGAUGUUGACGGCGGAGACGCCAUCGGAUUUUUCGCGCUCCCAGUAGCAUUGCGGUGCGGGAUUGGGACGUCGCCGCUUUGAGGAGAGUGUUGGCUUGGCGCUCGACUGUCGUAUCCACGCGGGGAAGGUGUGGGGAAUUAGUCCGCGGCUGGAAUAAUUUUGAUUUCUGGUUUGAAAGGGACCGGAAUGUGGAAUUACGGUGUUUGCGUGGGGUAUAAACUGAUUAGCUGUUGUUAUAAACUUAUAAUGCUCCUCAACGUUUGGAUAAUCUUUAAUAUUCAAUUAUUGUAAUGAAGUUAUUGAUGUUCAAAAUCGGGUUAAUUUUAAAACAAUGUGAAAUGUUAAGGUGUGAUCUUUGUUCACAAGUUGGGUUACGUUCACGAACGUAAAAGAGUUAUCAUUAAUAAUGUAGAGUUUACAUGAUACAAAUGUUAAAUAUAAUGAUUAUUAGUGAGUUCUAAUAAUGGUUCAGAGAAUCUAAAGACCAUAAGAAGCUUAAUUGUGGGAGAACGAUCUCCCUUUACAGUUGGGUAGAGUCCCAUGUUUUCGUCUACGGCCAAUGUGGGACUCUUAUAACUUUACUUUUAUGUUGACACGUGUUACGUUGUGGUUGAUUUCUUAGUUGGUGAGAAACUCAUGUUCUUCGGCAGGUGUGCCUCAGCACAAACCCUUCAGUACUUAGAAGUUGAUCGGUACUUAGAAGUUUGUAGUGUGAUGAAGUAUGGUACAAAUAGUGUUCCCCAAGUUCCUGAGAGAGAAAAAACAUUCUCGGUUAGAGACUUGCAAAAUCUAACUAAACUUUGUAGUGUAAUAACUAAACUUUUGAGUACCGAACUAACUCUUCCCUAAUAUGAAUUGGCGUGAUUCAGCAAGAAGAGGUGAAUCGUCAAUAACAUAUUUCAACCGCAUUGCAUGUUCCUGACCAUCUUGUUCCACUGCUUCGACAAGACCAUUAACAAUGAAUGAUAAAAUUACCAUAUGAUCAAAUGCAAUACAAAGAUCAAAUACGAAAUUAUCUUCAAAACAUUAUCUACUCAAAGAAGGAAAUGAAACAACAAACAAAUUGCACCGUAACUACAUUAGUUCAUCAUCUUUAAAUAACGUCAUAGUUAGAUCCACAAAAUCGUCUAUCUCCCAUACUCCUACAGUCAUAUGGUUUCAGAUUUGGGUGAUUUUUUAUCAAAAUGAUCUUUGAGACAAGACCUAAAAGAUAGACGGUACAUAUUGUUAAAAUAUAUUACAAAGUGGGUCUCAUAAAAACUUGUGUGAGUUGUGUAAAAAAAGUGGUAUGCACUUCCUUUCGUUUUGGGGAGGAUAGGGUGGAGAAGCUUGCUAUUUGGUGGAUUGGAAGAGUUUGCUAAUACUACUCUUCUGUCAGUAAAUUUAUCUGUUCUGUUGCUUGCUUUUGAACGAAAUUAGCAAACAAAUACUAUGUACAUAAGUUUAGGAUGGUGAUUCUUUCUGAUAAACCUACAUUUCCUCCAGGACAGCACACCACUCCAUGUCAGCAAUCCAUGCAGUUCGAACUACCUGAGCCAUGUCCUGCUAAGCCGUGUGCUGCUGACUUGAAAUGAUUAUUCUAAAUGGAAGCCAUGAAACCUUGUCGAAGAUGCUGAUGAAGAUGGACAGAAGAAUAUUGUAUAAAGCUGAUGAAGAUGGACAGAAGAAUAUUGUAAUAAACUCACACAGCUAGACAAACACUUUCUGGUAGUUGUUUAUUGCAUGCGUGUAUGUAAAUCUUGUAUAAAGAACAUGCUGCUGUUGAAGAGCAGUGAGGAUUGAAUUCAAUUGAGUUGAGUUUAUGAAAUCAGUCUCUAUAAACAUAGUUUAAACCAUAUCAUGGUAUCAAAGAGCUGAAAGUCUCACGACACAACCAUUUUUUUUUCCCAUGGCUUCUCAAUCUACUUCUCUGUCCAUCCCAAAUGCCUCAUAUCUUCUCACCAUCAAACUUGAUCGUACCAACUACCCCGUUUGGCAAGCUCAAAUGCUUCCACUUCUUCGUAGCCGAAACCUUGUUUCCUUUAUCGAUGGAACCAGUCCAUGUCCUUCUGUAUUCUUGAAAGAUGCGGAUGGUAACCUCACUGACGCAGUCAAUCCUGCGUUUGACAUCUGGGUUCAACAAGAUGCCACAGUCCUGUCGUGAAUUAACUCCUCCGUUCACCCCACUAUUCUUGUUGCCUUAAUUGGGAAAACUAGCUCCCAUUCUGCCUGGACGACCUUACGUGACCGCUAUGCUUCGCAGUCCACCGGUCGUCUCCUUCAGCUUCGAAGUGAGCUGAUGAAUACUCAUCGAGGUGACUCUUCUAUUUCUGACUUCUUGGAUAAGAUUAAUUGUCUUGCCGAUACUCUCUCUCUCUGGUGCUCCCGUUUCAGAUUCGGACAUCAUUGCCAUCAUUCUUAAUAAUGUUGGUCCUGCUUAUGAAAGCACGGUUGCCUCAGCCCAAGCCCGUGACGAGGCGAUUACCUACAGUGCUUUGGAAGCACUCCUUCUUGGUGCUGAACGCCGCCAGAAAAUGCAUUCUGCUUUCACUGCAGAUACCGGCCCUACUGCAUUUGCAGCCACCCGUAAUGGUGGUCGUCCAUCUCCUCCCUUUAGAGGCCGUGGCUCCUCCUCCGGGUUUCGAGGUCGUGGCAAUGGCGGUCGUAGCUCAUUUUCCCGUCACGGAUCAUCCCAUGGCUCUCCAUCUCGCCAACCUGAUGGCCUUCUUGGUUCUGCUCCCUCUCAGACCUCAUUUCCUAAUGGCAGACUUCAAUGCCAAAUUUGUACUCGCUAUGGCCAUUCCGCAAUUGACUGCUACAACCGUCUUAACAUGUCCUAUGAAGGGCGCGUUCCAGCACCAAAGCUUCAGGCUUAUGCUGCCAGUGCUCCCACCAUCCAGAAUUGGCUUUUCGAUUCUGGAGCCAAUGCCCACAUAACCAAUGAUCCUGCUCAGGUGACGAAUGCUCGACCAUAUCAUGGUACUGAUCAAGUGAAUGGUGUCGUUGGAGGAACAGGUUUGAAAAUCUCUCAUGUUGGUAACACUUGCAUUCGUACACCCCAAGCCCUUUUUCAUCUCCCAAACACAUUACUUUGCCCUAAUGCAUCCACUAAUAUCAUUUCCAUUCAUCGCUUCACCACUGAUAAUAAUUGUUCUCUAACUUUAUUCCCACACGCCUAUCGUGUUCAGGACCUUCACACGAGGAAGAUGCUUUUCCACGGCCGGAGUAACAAUGGGUUCUACCCCUUCUCAACAGUUUCAUCAUGCACUAAAGGAGUCUCUGUAUUCAUAGGUGCUAGGGUGUCCAAUUCCAUUUGGCACUCUAGAUUAGGUCAUCCAUCUUCUCAUGUUUUGAAAAGUUUAAUUUCUAGCAAUAAGUUGCCUAUCAAUGGCGUUGUAACAAGAGCAUUUUGUCAGUCCUGCCCUCUGGGCAAAAGUCACAAGUUACCUUUUAGUUUAUCUACUUCAAAAUCGUCCUUUGCAAUUGGUCCAUUCAGAUGUAUGGACUUCUCCUACUGUUUCAAUUAAUGGAUUUAAAUACUAUGUGGUUUUUAUCGAUGAUUUCUCUCGAUAUUCUUGGUUGUAUCCAUUAAAAUUCAAAUAUGAUGUCUUUUCUACAUUUGUUGCUUUCAAGAAAUUAGUUGAAAAUAUGUUUAAUACCACCAUUAAAUUUUUUCAAACUGACGGGGGAGGUGAGUAUCUUAGUCACAAUUUCAAAGCUUUCUUGACUCAUCAUGGUAUUCAUCAUCGCUUAUCUUGCCCACAUCAUCCCGAACAAAAUGGAAUUUCAGAGCGUAAACAUCGCCAUCUUGUUGAAACUGGCCUCACUCUUCUUGCCCAUUCCUCAUUGCCCACAUCAUUUUGGGAUGAUGCCUUUCAUACCGCCAAUUAUUUGAUAAAUCGUUUACCCACUAAGGUUUUACAUAAUGACUCUCCCUUUCAAAAACUCUUUCACAAAUCUCCUCAAUAUGAUUUCCUAAAGGUUUUUGGGUGUGCAUGUUUUCCAUAUUUUCGACCAUAUAAUAGUAAUAAACUUCAGUUUCGUUCCAAACGUUGUGUUUUUCUUGGCUACUAUUUAAAUCACCAAGGUUAUAGAUGUCUUGACAUGUCUACAGGAAAUUUUUUUGUGUCUCGUCAUGUUGUAUUUGAUGAAACUUGUUUCCCAUAUAAAGAAUCCAUUACUCCCGUGUCUCCAUCACCAACCAUUUCCACCGACACUAUGACACUAGACAUAGGUCCAUCCCUCCCAUACCGCCCACAGUCACCUCCCAUCCCUCCUAACCCUACUCCACCACCUUUACCCUCAACCGUCACUCCCACGCCUACCCCUCCCUUAAUAUUACCUAUCCCUACUCCUCCUAUAUCCACUCCUCUAGGACCCACGAAUGCAAGUCACAUUCCUUCUACAUCCUCUUCUUCUCAGAGGAUCCUUCCACCUACUCAUUCUAUGACCACACAUGCCAAGGAUGGGAUUCACAAACCUAAUCCCAAAUAUGCAUUUACUUCUACUGUCACUAAUCCUGUGCUUGAGCCUACUUGUUUUACCCAGGCUAACAAAUCUCCAGAAUGGCGCCAGGCCAUGGCAGAAGAGUUUAAUGCCCUCCUACGCACUGGAACAUGGUCAUUGGUUCCCUUUGUUCCCUCCAUGAAUGUGCUUCCCAAUAAAUGGGUAUAUCGGAUCAAACGACAUUCUGAUGGUUCAAUACAGCGGUAUAAGGCUCGAUUAGUCGCCAAUGGCUACCACCAACAAGAUGGUAUUGAUUAUGACGAGACGUUCAGUCCAGUAGUUACUCAUGCAACCAUUCGCCUCGUCCUCUCAGUUGCUCUUCACUUCAACUGGCCUAUCAGACAACUUGAUGUUCAGAAUGCUUUCUUACAUGGUUCUUUAGCAUAGGUUGUUUAUAUGCGGCAGCCUGUAGGAUUUGUGGACUCUCAGUUUCCAAAUCAUGUAUGUCGCUUGCACAAAUCACUAUAUGGUUUCAAACAGGCACCCUGUGCCUGGUUUCAAUGUUUCUCCUACCAUCUUGAAGAUCUAGGGUUUCAAGCAUCCCUCGCAGAUUCGUCGUUGUUCACAUAUUUUCAUGGGUCCACUGUCAUUUACUUAUUGAUCUACGUUGAUGACAUCCUUGUUACAGGUAAUAACCCUUCUCAUAUCUUUCAGCUUAUUCAACGACUUGGUCACAAGUUCUCCAUGAAGGACUUAGGUCAUUUGCAUUAUUUUCUGGGCAUGGAAAUUCAGCGGACACCCACUGCCAUGUAUCUUACUCAAUCCAAGUACAUCCUGGACCUUCUCAAAAAGACAAAUAUGUGUGAUGCAAAACCUUUCACCACUCCCGCUACCACUGGACGCAAGUUAAGUCUCUAUGAAGGUGAACCUUUAUCUGAUGGCACACUGUUUCGGAGUAUCGUUGGCGCUCUCCAAUACCUUCUCUUCACGAGACCGGAUAUUGCUUUCGCCGUCAAUCAGGUCUGUCAAUAUAUGCAUUCUCCCACCACUACUCACUGGGCUGCUGUAAAACGCAUACUUCGAUACUUGAAAGCCACUCCUGAUCACGGCAUUGUUUAUAAACCUAGUUCUCUCACCCUCACUGCCUUUGCUGAUGCCGAUUAUGUCGGGGAUCCUGACGAUCAGCGCUCAACUGGGGGCUAUUGCAUUUUUCUGGGUGAUAAUCUCGUCUCUUGGAGCUCCAAGAAACAGCGCGGGGUGUCUCGAUCCAGCACUGAGGCCGAGUACAAACAGCUGGCUUAUACGGCAGCCACUUUAUCUUGGUUCCGCCAUAUCUUUCGUGACCUGCACCUUUCUCUUUCUCCACCACGGUUGUGGUGCGACAAUAUCAGUGCCCUUGCUGUUGCCUCUAAUCCUGUAUAUCAGGCGCGAAUGCGACACGUUGAAGUUGACUACCACUACGUUCGCGAAAAGGUCGUCCGCAAAGAACUACAAGUUGGCUAUGUUGCCACUGUUGAUCAAAUUGCAGACUUUCUCACCAAAGGUCUGUCCUCUCCUCGUUUCCGCUAUCUACUCUCCAAGCUUCCCGUGCGUCCACGCCCGCUUCGCUUGCUGGGGCGUGAUAAACCUACAUUUCAUCCAGGACAGCACACCACUCCAUGUCAGCAAUCCAUGCAGUUCGAACUACCUGAGCCAUGUGCUGCUAAGCCAUGUGCUGCUGACUUGAAAUGAUUAUUCUAAAUGGAAGCCAUGAAACCUUGUCGAAGAUGCUGAUGAAGAUGGACAGAAGAAUAUUGUAUAAAGCUGAUGAAGAUGGACAGAAGAAUAUUGUAAUAAACUCACACAGCUAGACAAACACUUUCUGGUAGUUGUUUAUUGCAUGCGUGGCUUUUAUUAUUGCAUGCGUGUAUGUAAAUCUUGUAUAAAGAACAUGCUGCUGUUGAAGAGCAGUGAGGAUUGAAUUCAAUUGAGUUGAGUUUAUGAAAUCAGUCUCUAUAAACAUAGUUUAAAUUCUAUCACUUUCAAUGUGUCCUGAAGUUCUUUUAUAUGAAAUUUGACUUAUUUGUUGGAGUUUGGCUUUCUAUAGUAUGCUUCUAUCAUACUUGGACUGCAUACUGCUGCUAUAUUGUUGUGAAAGAUUCCCUGUAGUUGCAGCUGCAUUGCUUCCAUAUAUACGUUGGUUCUACUAAAUUUCUAACAACUGCUUGUGAAUUCCUGAUAAAAUGGUUAUUGAAACUCAUUUAUUUGAGUUGGUACCGCGAACUGUUUCCUUCAGCUAUACCAAAUGAAUAGCAGUUCGAUUGUUUGGUAUUAUCUAAUGCUGAAUUCUUUAUUGAUGGCGGAGUAAAUUCGAGUUUCAGCUGAGACUUCAAGAGCUUAUAAAGUUGGUACGAGCUGAAAAUAACUGGCAAGCGAUCACAAUGGGGAACUACUCAUAUGAAAGAAUUACAGCGGGUCCUUGUAACAGUAGCUUAGAAGAGUACUACAGACUGUGCUACAUACACGGUGAUCCAUUUUUGCUUUGAUUGGGAAAAUUCUUUUGCGGAGUACUUUGAUUCUUUGGCAUCGUUUUUGUUGGAAUGGACAUACAGAUAUUUUAGAGAAGUAAAAAGUUAAAAGAAAAAGAUUUAGAGACUAUGGUCUCUGUUUUCCUCAACUCCUGUGGGAAUGAGCUGAAUAGGACAAUGUCUUAAAUGGUACCUACGUUUAGUUGAACUUAUAACUAUGUAGGAAAAUUGUUUUGUUGAGCACGAACUAGCACAGAUUUGCCUGCAUCAUCUUUUUGUGGUGGUAGUUUCUCACAGAUUGAUUUUUGUCUCUGUUAGUCAUGCAGCCUUCAACAUUCCAUUAAGAAAUCCGUAAAUGUUAUUAUGUUUUGAAUCUAUUGAUUGAUAUACAGGACUAGCUUUUCAAGAAUAGACUCAUUACUAGCAAAAGUUGCCCGCGCAAUGCUGCGGGUUUUAAAACCGUACAAAACAUGUUGAAAGUUCUAAAUAUAUACGAUAGACAAUAUUAUUUAGGAGUAAUUAGGUUUUCAUCCUUAUUUUUACUACUCUAUUGAUUAAAACCUUAUUACUUUUCAAUUUUUGAUCAAGGUCCUUUGUAUUAAUAAUAUCAUUAAUUAUUUCAAUAAUAAAAUAUUAAUUAUUUCUAAAUAUAUUCAUUUAAUAUUAAAAAUGUUACAAUUAGUAUAUUUAUAUUUAUGGCUAAAUUUUUUAUCAUAUAUUUUUAUUUUUAGUUUGUACCCAUUUUUAAUUUGCAACCCUUUUUUAAUUUGUACCAAUUUUCCUUUCAAUUUUAAUUUGUACCCAUAUAUUUAAUUUCUUUUGUGCCCAUAUUUUUUUAAAGUUUUAUUUGUAUUGUACCCCAUAUUUUUUUUUUUUAUUUAUUUGUACCCAUUUUUUAUUUUUGCUAAAUGUACCCAUUUUGAAGAAUGUACCCAUGUUUUGAUACAAUAAUUUUUUGGUUAUUUUUUAUGAAUGUACCCAUGUUUACACACACACACACACAAUAGUAUAUUUAUAUUUUAAUAUUUUUAAUCCCACAAAUUAUGGUUUUUUAUUUAAAAUCUCAUUACUAUAAACAACUAUAAAUUUUAAUUUUUAAUUUAAAAAAUAUAGUAACGUACAUAGAAAUAAAUUAUCAAUUAAUUUUAGGGACUUGGAUCAAAAAUUGAAAAACAACAAGGUUUCAGUCAAAGAUUGUGCAUAAAUAGGGACCGCAUCUAAAGUCUCCCUAUUAUUUACAUACAUGUGGAAAUAUAUUUACAACCCUAUUUACAAUAAGAAAAAAAUAGGUGUCCAAAAGUGGGGGUUCGUAACAUUUUGCAAGUUUAAAGCACUGUUGAACUGCUUAUUUUUCCAAAAGGGUAAAUCGUCAAAAUGGUCCCUGAGAUUUGCAUAACUCAUCACUUUGGUCCCUGAGAUUCCAAAACGAUAAAAGUGGUCCCUGAGAUUUUCCACCAUCCAUCAUUUUGGUCCUUCCGUUAAAAACUCCGUUUUUUAAAUUUCAGGUAGACAGGCCAUGGGCCCACUCCAACAACACCGAUAUUAUCCGCACUUGGCCACCUGCUCAAUCCGUCAGGUGUGGGGUUUUAAUACAAAAGGCCUCGGUGUUAGUUAUAGUGGGGUAAUUCUAUGUAAAUGGCUUGUUCUCAAGCCUUCUGGCCGAUGUGGGACAAAUGAAUUCUAACACCGUUAAGUGUCCCCGAGGAAGUUUGGGCAAUUUCAAAGCUUCGUAACCCAAUCGUUUCUUAACCAAAUUAGACCCAUAAUAUAUCAAAAUGAAGAUAGGAAGGUGUAGAAUAAGAUUAUACCUAUUUCAAAGCCCAAUGAUUGCUGAAGAUGGCUGGAAAAUAGCCUCAAAGUUGACUGGUCCGAGUAAAAACUUGAAAACUCGCCGGAAACUGAGUAAACUUUAAACGUUCAUAACUUCAAUACUCAACGAAAUCAAAUGAUUCAAAAACGAAAAUCAUACUUCUCGACGAGAUGAAGAGAAUGCUACCUUUUUUUUUAUGGCUAACUCGCCAUGGUUUGGCCGGAAAAUGGCUUGAAAGUAGACAAUCUCUGGCAAUCACUGGGCUUUGAAAUAAGUAUAAUCUAAUUUUUCACUUUCCUAUCUUCAUUUUGAUAUAUUAUGGGUCUAAUUUGGUUAAGAAACGAUUGAGUUGUGAAGUUUUGAAAUUUGCCCAAACUUCCUCCGGGACACUUAACGGAGUUUUUAACGGAAUGACCAAAAUGAUGGAUGGUGGAAAAUCUCAGGGACCACUUUUAUCAUUUUGGAAUCUCAGGGACCAAAGUAACGAGUUAUAAAAAUCUCAGAGACCAUUUUGGCGAUUUACCCUUUCCAAAAUAUUCUAGGUACGUAUAUACUAAUUAGCAGUAACUUUCUUCUUUACAAAUCGACACUUGAGAACUUUCUUCUUUUGUUUUCAUUUCGCUGUUACAAAUCGGAAAAAUGAAACUUGUAAAUGUAAAUAAAUGGCAGUUUUACUGUUUUACUGAAAAUGAAAGAACGAAAUAUAAGAACUUGAUACGUUGACACGGUUUCUUCAAACACACUAGUACAAUCACAUAAAAAAUGCAAUGUUUAUGGUGAAAAGCCCAAGUUCCCGCCAGUUUGUCCUCCAUACUCUACCCUAAUCUUCUAAGGUUUUUAGUUAAACAACUUGCUCCUGUAACAACUAUAUUAAAGCAUAAAUAUUCAUGAAAAAUCAUCAUCAAUAGCAAAAAGGCACAAAGUAUUUUACAGAAUUCUAAAGAUCCCUUAAGUGCCUCAAACCCAGGUCUGUCCUCUCUUUGCCUUCCUCCUUCAUUACUUUGAUUUCUUUUUUUAUGCUGGAAUUUUUAUUUAUGGAAAUUUAAGGCUUUGAAAUAUAGUACUGAUUUCAGAGCCUUUGGCAAUUUACUUGUAAAUUGUUAGACUGUUGUACAGAGAUUCACACAUGAAAAUGCUUUAAAACGUAGAAGCUUACCUAAAGCAUAUGCGUGCAUGAAAUCCUUAAAGGUGAUACUUUUGGACAUUUCAGGGAAGUUCUUGAGAGCCUGAAAAUAUGUCGUAACAAUAAUCAGAAUCUACACGUUAAUAAUAAAGAAGUGAUUAACAAUCUUCUCAUAUCUCAAGUAAGUACUUUCAAAAGUUAUUAAGUUAACGGGAUGCCCCACUAUUCCAAAUUCUGAAAUUUGUGCCACAUUAUUAAUCUAGUCUUAUUUGACUGGUUACUCUGGUUGAUUAAUUUUGCCAGAACAUUCAAGAUAAUGGGACAUCGAAUUACAUGCCAUCAACCGUUUAAACCCCGAAUAGAGAUGAUGAUAUUAAAUUUAAAACAUAUACACGGCUUAGGUUCAAGCAUUAAUGUCCCAAAACCAUUAACCAAAUAAUAAAACAAUCAAGUACUUACUGUCCUAAUUGCCAAAAAUUCCUUUUUGAUUUGAGAUCUUUGAUUAAUUGUUUCCUGAUAUACAGAGCUUUGGCAGAUCAGCUCCAACUCAUCGUCACUCCAAAAACAGUGAAUUUCUUGCCAUUCAAGAAAUUUGUACAAACAAACAAAUCAAGUACAUGUAAGGACCACUGAUCAGUUAAAUUCUUGUUUCAUUCGUGUUCAAUCCACGCUGUCCAAGUUGACCGUCUAACAACAUGACCUACCAAAUAAUCUCUAGGAAUGCAAAUGAUAACUUAAUAUCAUAACACUCACAGUGCAUUGCAUCUCCUGCGGGCGAGGAAGCCGGCGAAUGUAAGGGGCACACCUGAAUCCUGCAUAAACAAAAACCUCAAACCCCACAGAAAAAAUCUUUCCACAACAUAGUAAAUUAAACUAGCACAGCAAUCUACAUUGCCCAUUCUCUGCUCAAACAAAACGACAGUGGCAAGCUUUGCAGCAUCGCCAACUCCAUCACUCAACAAAUCUUUCGGUUAUGGAACAAGAUUAUCCGGAGCUAGUUGCUGCAAUUAUAAACCAAAUCAAAGCCUCUUAAAUCAUAAAUUAACAAUUUAAACUGUGAUUGAAGUCUUAAAUAAUUUGGGAUUAAGAUUUACCACGCUGCACGGAACCUUCAAAACGCAGUCUCCAGUAGUUGUGCUCUGUGAAGCAAACAGAGACGUUCCGUACGCCGAUUUCCCAAUUGAAAGCGCCGACGAAAUCUCGGCGCCGGCCUUCCGCUCCAGCCACGGCAAGAAUGUUGGUAACUCUAAGUUGAACUCUCACACUAGAACACGUAACCAAUGUUUGCUUGAACACUCAAAGACUCGGGAGAAUAUACUUGUUAUUCAAUCAUGUAAACAUGGCUUUUAAAUAGCCUUACACAGAUAACUGAAAGCUGAAAAUAUGCAGCCCACGUUUUAACAACCCUACAACGUGGUAUGAGACUAAUUCAAAGUAAAUAACUUAUCCCUACAAACUAGGGUUUAUUAUCAUCAACUAAAACAAACACCUAAUAAACUGGAACCUGGAAGACCUAACCCUAACGGCUAGGACUCAUGAAAACGUCAACAUCCUCCCUUAAGCUGAAUGCUAUCAGCAAUCAGUUUAUAUGCAUGAGUGAAUGAACACCCAACAAUCCCCGUAAUUUCUGAAAAGCGUCCAGCUUUAGAGGCUUGGUCAUGAUAUCUGCCACCUGCUCCUGCGAGGAACAUUGAACCAACUCAACAAUCUCAUCCUUGGUAAGCUCGCGAAGAAAAUGAAAUCGAACAUCUAUGUGCUUGCUACGCCCAUGCAUCACUGGAUUCUUUGAAAGCUUAAUGGUAGAACUGUUGUCACAGUAAAUGGUUGUACACUUAUGCGAUUCAUAGUUGAGCUGCUGCAAGAUCCUUUUUAACCAAACUGCCUGACAUGCACAUGAAGCUGCAGCUAUGAACUCAGCUUCGGUGGUUGAUAAUGUGACCACCGGUUGUUUCUUUGAGGACCAAGAAACUGCUCCUGCACUUAACAUAAAAACAUACCCAGAAGUACUUUUCCUAUCAUCCUGAUCUCCAGCAUAAUCACUGUCAGUGUACCCGUAGAGUUCUUCUUCUCCUCCCUUCUUGUAGACCAGCCCAAAAUUCACCGUGCCCUUCAAGUACCUCAAUACUCUCUUUGCUGCUUUGAGAUGCAGCUCAGUAGGUCGUUCCAUGAACCUACUUAUUAGACUAAUCACAUACAUCAAGUCUGGUCGUGUUGCUGUUAAGUACAUCAAGCUGCCCACGAUUCGUUUGUACAUAGUGAUAUCCAUUUCUAUCCCAUCUUCAUCCUUCGUCAAUUUAAAACCAGGAACAAUGGGAUUAUGAACUGCAUUGCAUUGGUCCAUAUUGAACCGCUCCAAUAACUCCUGAGCGUACUUUCGUUGGGUAACAUAGAUACCUUCAGAUUUUUUAAUCACUUCCAAACCAAGGAAAUAACUCAUUUUCCCAAGAUCAGUCAUGUCAAACUCAGUCAUCAUUGAAAGCUUGAAAUCUUUGAACAUUGACUCAUCAUUCCCAGUAAAUAUAAGAUCAUCAACAUAAAGGCAGACAAUUAACAUUUUACCUCCAUUCACUUUCUUGACGAACAAGGUGUGUUCAUGUGGGCACUUAUUGAAACCUUCCUUCAUGAAGUAAGACUCGAUGCGGCUAUACCAGGCUCGGGGAGCCUGUUUGAGACCGUAUAGUGCCUUUUUCAGCUUAUAGACUUUAUGCUCCUGCCCCUUUUGUUCAUAACCUGGAGGUUGUGCGAUGAACACUUGUUCAUUUAUUUCUCCAUGGAGGAAAGCCGACUUGACAUCCAACUGGUAGACAGUCCAGUUAUUUGUGCUGCAAGUGAUAAAACAACUCGGACUGUAUCCAUCCGUGCCACAGGUGCAAAUACCUCUGCAUAAUCUACUCCAUAUCUCUGGCUGUACCCUUUUGCAACCAGGCGAGCCUUGUAUUUAUCCACUUCACCUUUCUCGUUGAACUUGGUUUUGUAAAUCCAUUUUACCCCAACUAUCUUCCCUUCUGGUGGCAUCUCUGUGAGUUCCCAUGUAUUAUUUUUCUCUAUUGCUUGUAUCUCUGAAUCCAUGGCCUUCUUCCAUUUGUCGCUUUGUAUAGCCUCCUCAUAAGUGAUAGGAUCGGACUCAGCAAAUAAUGCUAAGUGACCCAUAUCUUCUUCCUCUGAAAGACCCUCGCCACUCACAUAGUCUUCCAUCCACACUGGUUGUCUUCUAACUCGUCCUUCAACCGCAGUCAUCUCAGUCUGAUCAUUUUGAUCUGAGUCCAGGCUCUCCUGUGUUUGUUCAUCGGUCGCAUCAUCCCUCAGAUCUCCUUCUUCAUUCACGUCCCACUCAAGAUCAGCCAUGAUCGUCUCUUGGGAGUUAUCAUUCCAGUCCCAAGCCUUGUCCUCUUCAAAAACAACAUCCCGGCUUAUCACAAUUUUCUUAGACACUGGAUUGUACAGGCGAUAGGCCUUGGACUCCUCGCUGACUCCAAGUAGAAUACACUUCAUGCUUUUGUCAUCAAGCUUGAUCCUCUUGCUAUCAGGAACAUGCACGUGUCCUAUGCAUCCAAAAACCCUGAAGUGCUCCACGGAUGGUAUAGAGCCACUCCAGGCUUCUUCUGGCGUCAUGCUCUUUACUGCUAGGGUUGGACUUCGGUUAAGUACAUAAAUGGCCCAAUUUACUGCUUCUGGCCAGAAAGUUCUUGGGAUUUUCUUUCCUGUAAGCAUGCUUCGAACCAUGUUCAUGAUGGUUCGGUUCUUCCUCUCCGCGACUCCAUUCUGUUGGGGGGGUGUAAGCAGCUGUAAGUUGUCGGACAAUUCCAUGCAUGUUGCAAAAGUUUGUGAAUUCAAAUGAAAUGAAUUCACCUCCACGGUCUGUUCGCAGAGUUCUUAUGCUCGAACUCGUCUCCUUCUCAACCCGUGCCUUGAAGUUUUUGAACAUACUAAAGGCUUCUGAUUUCUCAAUCAAAAAGAACACCCAUGUUUUCCUGCUAUAAUCAUCAAUGAAAGUAAGAAGGUACCUCUUUUUACUGUUAGAUACUGGAUUUAUAGGCCCACAUAUAUCUGCAUGCACAAGUUGAAGAAUUUUAGAUGCUCUCCAUGUGCUGUCCUUUGGAAAGGAAUCUCGUUGUUGCUUCCCCACCAAACAUUCUUCACAUACCUGUGUGUGUGCGUUGAAUGUUGGUAAGCCCUUCACCAUAUUCUUUUGUUGAAGGACUCUCAGACCACUCCAACCCAAGUGUCCAUAUCGACAGUGCCAUAAUUUGAAUUGAUCAUCUGCACUCACAUUGAAACAUUGCUCCUCCUGCAGUUGUGUACGUGUCCGCAAAAUGAACAUGCGAUUUUCUGCCAUUUUGGUCUCCCAAAUUAGUCCUCUUGUUGGAUGAUAGAUCCUACACUUGCCACUUUUAAUGGAAAUAGCAAGGCCCUUCUCUUGCAGUUGACCAACGCUCAAUAGAUUAUUUUUUAAGUCCGGCACGUAGAACACUUCAGUGACAACUUGCAUGGCUCCAUUAACCUCCAUUCGAACAUUUCCCUUCCCUAGCACAUCCAACCGUGAGUUGUUUCCAAGUUUGACAGACUUCCUGAAGGUGUCGUCCAAAUCGAUGAACAUCUCCUUCUUUCCACACAUGUGAUUGCUGCAUCCCGAGUCCAAGAACCACAAUUCUUCCCUGUCGUUCCCCUUGAUAUCCACAUAUGCCAUCAAUAGCAUUUCUUCACUGGUUUCUGCAUAAAAACCUUUAGCAUCCUUCCCCUUCUUAGGACAUUCCCACUGAAAGUGUCCAAGUUCAUGACAAUGGUAACACUCGAGGGUGGAUUUGUCCGAGCCAUUUCGACCCCUUCCUCGCCCUCUUCCUCUGAAGCUGCUGCGUCCGUCUCGCCCACCUUGUUGCGUAUCAUAGGUCACUUUGAGAGCUUGCUCCUCUGCGGUGUGUGUCUUCCCAUCCUUUGCUCGUGCACAAGCAAAACUGCUUUGUAAUUCAUCGAUGGAUAAGAUGUCGAUAUCAUUUGACUCUUCAAUGGAACACACCACAUAGUCAAAUUUAGAGACCAUUGAUCGUAGAAUCUUUUCAAUGACCACUACAUCUUCCAUCUUUUCCCCAUGACUUCGCAUCUUGUUGGCUAUGGUGAGAGUACGUGCAAAAUACUCAUUCACCGAUUCCCCUGCCUUCAUAUGCAACAUCUCAAACUCUUUGCGAAGAGCCUGUAACUGGGCACGUUUUGACUCUUGCCGUGCCCUUGUACUUCUGUUUCAGUGAGUCCCAUAUGUCUUUCGCAGUGUCCUUCUUCAAUAUGGUCUCCAGUAUUGAACGAUCAAGGGCCUGGAACAAAUAAUUUUUGGCCUUCAGGUCCGUUAAUUUCAAAUCUUUAAUAGUUUUCUUCUGGACAUCUGUGAUACUGCUGUCAUCUGCUGCUGCAGGAACACCAGUCUCUACCAAACCCCAAUAUUCCUUGGAACGCAGGAAGUUCUCCAUGAGCAUGCUCCAAUGAUCAUAGUGUCCGUCAAGCCGUGGGAUUGCAGGUUGCACAAAGCUACUUUCAGUCGUCAUGAUGCUGUUGUGAACGAUGAAACUAACUGCGAUCAGGCCCCGUGGUGGGGCUCUGAUACCAAAUGUUGGUAACUCUAAGUUGAACUCUCACACUAGAACACGUAACCAAUGUUUGCUUGAACACUCAAAGACUCGGGAGAAUAUACUUGUUAUUCAAUCAUGUAAACAUGGCUUUUAAAUAGCCUUACACAGAUAACUGAAAGCUGAAAAUAUGCAGCCCACGUUUUAACAACCCUACAACGUGGUAUGAGACUAAUUCAAAGUAAAUAACUUAUCCCUACAAACUAGGGUUUAUUAUCAUCAACUAAAACAAACACCUAAUAAACUGGAACCUGGAAGACCUAACCCUAACGGCUAGGACUCAUGAAAACGUCAACAAAGAAGUCGUUGGAUUCGUCGACCUGGUAGAGAGCGAUGAAUUGUUAGCAGGAAUUUGAAAUGUUUCGGUUUUUUCCGGGAUUGUGAAAUUCUCCGUUUGGCUUUUGGGAUACCUUGGGUUGGGACAAGAAGUGGAAGUUGUGCUUGAUACUUGGAGUGUAGGAGAGGCUGAGAUGUUGACGGCGGAGACGUCAUCGGAUUUUUCGCUCUCUCAGUAGCAUUGCGGUGCGGGAUUGGGACGUCGUCGUUUUGAGGAGAGUGUUGGCUUGGCGCUCAACUCUCGUAUCCACGCGGGGACGGUGUGGAGAAUUUAGUGGUAAAAAAAAAAAAAGUUAUUGUAACUUCAAAAAUCUUAUCUUACUAUUUUUACAAGUGUUUUUUUCUUUUUAAAUAUUAAAAGUUUGGAGAGUAAUUUCAAAAACCCUAGAUGACUUCGUCUAAGAAUUCAAUUGGUUAUAGCUCGUGGGACAUGUUCUUUUUCUCCGAAGACAAUUUGUAGUAAAAAAAAAUCUUACCAAGCCAUCUAGAGUUAUUGGUGUGGUGGAAAUACCAAAUUCACAUCUCUAGUGCAUUCUAUAGAAUUUUUACACAGACAGACAUAAGUGACUAUAUGUACAUUAACAUUGAAUGUGACUGCAAAAUUGGCAAUAUUUGUAUUUUGGUGGUAAAUUCCGAGCACAACGGGGCAAAAAAUUCCCUUGAUUGGAAAUUAUUUCAUGUGUAUUACAAAAUGUGCUACGUACUACAAUUUGUAUUUGUAUUUGUAUAAGAGUACUACAGAAUGUGCUACGUACAACGUGAUCCAUUUUUCCCUUAUUGGGAAAUUCUUUUUUUUUAGUACUUUGAAUAUGUGCCACAGUUUUUGUUGUAAUAGAUAUACAUACUAUGGUCUCUGUUUUCCUCGAAUCUUGUGGGAAUCAGUUGGAUAGGAAAAUGUGCUAAAUGGUACCCAUGUUUAGUUGAACUUAUUAAGAUGUAGGAAAGAUGUUUUCUGAACACGAAUUAGCACAUAUUUGCCUACAUCAUCUCUUUGUUGGCAGUUUCUCACAUAUUAAUGGUCUCUGUUUUCCUCAACUUGGUUUAUUGUUGGGGAUUGAAGCAUGUACUUAUGCAGAAUUACUUUUUAGAAUUUAUUUUCAAGUUGGUGAACUAAUAUUUCAAUUAAUUUACUCUGUACUAGUUUGAGUUGAAAAAACCAAGUCAUUUCAAAUUGCGGUGAGUUGAAUUUAAUUGCAAAUAUCGCACAAAAUUUAUGGGAAUCCAUGUUGACGGGCUGUAAACUCAACUUGCUGGGCGAAGCAGCUCCACAACUCUAAAGACUCAUACAUCUGUCACACUAUUAAACGCCAAAUUCUAGAAAUUAAUUUCAAAUUUCGGAAAGUUUGUCGUCAAUGUGAUGUAUUUUUUGUAAAUGCAGGCGAUGUUUUUGCAAGGAACCGGAACUUUUCCACGCUCGAAAGCUCCACUGGUUGUCAUCGCUCUUCUGCUAUGUUUCUGCUUUGAUUACUGAUCUUUCUGGUUCUCUGUUUCGAAAAUUGAAGCAUACGAGUUUGUUCGAAAAACCCACAUAUUAUAGGCUUGCAUUUUAGGUUUCUUCUCCAAUUUUGUUUAUUCAGAUUUUAGGUUUCUUCUCAAAUAUCUGAUUUUGUUUAAGUUUGUGAGAUUUCUGUGUUUGUUUUGUUUUUCUGCAAUUGUUUUGGUUUUUGGUUUUUGUCUGCUUUAUCCGUAUUGAUCAAUUUGAAGAUCCCCAUUUUGUUUUAAUAUUCUAUACGUUUUUAGUUACCGGGUUAUUUUGGCAAUGAUAUUCGCUUUAGUUUUGUGCCCAGUAUUGGGUUUCCUGAUAACUUUUAGCAACUUUUACGUAUUCACUGUUUUAUUCCUCGGAUUAAAAUCAACUCUUUCGGUACCGUUGCAUCUUAGGAUCUCAAGAUUUCUGGUGUGAGUUCACUCACACACCAUUUUCAAUCUUUUCGAAAAAGAAUGAGCAUUGCAUUGAUACUUUGGCUGUGAAACGGAAUGUAGAAUCAUUAAGGUUUUUUUAGUCAAAAUGAUCUUUGAGAUUUGCAUAACACACCACUUUGAUCCCUUAUAUUGAAAAUCAAUAGAAAUAGUUUCUGAGAUUGUCUACCAUCCAUUAUUUUUGUCCUUCUGUUUUUUGUUAAAUGUCCCGGAGCUCUUAGCCUGAAGUUUGGUCAAUUUUCAAAACUUCGUAACUCAAUCGUUUCUCAACCAAAUUUAACCCAUAAUAUAUAAAAAUGAAGAUAGAAAAAUAUAGAACAAGAUAUACCUAUUUGGAAGCCCAAUGGUUGCCAGAGAUGGCCGGAAAAUAGCCUGAAAUGUGACUGAUCCGCAGAAAAACUGAAAAACUUGUUGGAAACUAGAUAAAAUUUAAACUUUCAUAACUUCUUUAAUACUCAACGAAAUCGAGUGAUUCGAAAACAAAAAUCAUACUUCUCAACGAGACGAAGAGAAUGAUACAUUUCUCAACAACCAAUUCAUCGUGAUUUGGCCGGAAAAUGGCUCGAAAUUGGCCAACUUGAGACCAAGACAGCCGUUUUCAGGCCAAACCAUGACUAGUUAGCCAUCGAGAAAGGUACCAUUAUUUUUGUCUCGUCGAUACGUAUGAUUUUCAUUUUUGAAUCACUCGAUUUCAUUGAGUGAAGAAGUUAUGAACGUUUAAAAUUUACCUAGUUUCUGACGAGUUUUCCAGUUUUCUCACGGACCAGUCAUUUUUAGGCUAUUUCCAACCAUCUUCGGCAACCAUUGGGCUUCCAAAUAGGUAUCAUCUUGUUCUACACACUUUCCUAUCUUCAUUUUGAUAUAUUAUGAGUCGAAUUUGGUUAAGAAAUGAUUAAAUUACGAAGUUUUGAAAAUUACUCAAACUUUCGCCCAAGAGCCCUAGCACACUUAACGAAGUUUUUAACGAAAUGAUCAAAAUAAUAGAUGGUGAACAAUCUCAAAGACCUUUUUUCUAUUGAUUUUCAAUCUUAGGGAUCAAAGUGAUGUAUUAUGUAAAUUUCAAAGACCAUUUUGACUAAAAAACCAAUCAUUAAUGAUUAGACAUUGGGUUUCAAAAUCUUUUAUAAUUUCAGCAUUGGUUCAAAAAAAAAAAAAAAAAAAACCUGUGUAAUUUCAUUUGGGUCUUCUUCCUUUUAAUCUUUCUUCGUUGAGUUUAGUCCUCCAAAAUUUUUGAUAAUUUUUUAAGUUUGAGUUUCUGGGUUUCUCUUAAAUUGGAGCUUUUGUGUUGGGUUUCUCUUCAUGCCAAUUGUCAAAUUGUUCGAACCAGUCUGUUGUAUAAAGGUUAUUGUAUGUAUAUAUUUCCACUGUUCCUCUGUUUGUUGUCUGUAUAACUACAAAUUCAUCAAUUCAUCAAUCGGGUGGUUCUUCUUAUGUAAUUUCAUUAAUUGGGUCUUACAAAACCUUAUUAAUGUCAGACUCUGUAGUUCUUGAGAUUAGAGAGCUAUUUUGCUCUUUAUUUUGUUCCUUAAUGUCAACCUUUCUUAAUGUCAGGUGAUGAGUAUUGAAGGGUUUUGAUAUUUCUACAUGUAUGUAAAUAGAGUUCUAUAUGUUUUAUAAUUUGACAUAAUAUCAAAGGAUGUUUGACUUGGACUACAAUUGCUAAUAGUUUUCACCACAACGUUACGGUUAACAACUUUUUUACCACAGAGGCCAAUCGUCAACAAUCACGCCAUAAUAUUUACAAUAGUUAGCUUAAAUAAAUUGUCGUUCUAGCACUACACUUUCAGUUUUUAAUUUCGUAUUUUAAAUUAAAGAAUGUUGAAUUUCUAGCUCAUUGCGUGUGGGCCUUUAAAGCCUUUAGAGCAACUCCACAUUGGUCAGGCAAUUGGGCAAUUCUUGUCCAAACCUAGAAAAAGUGCUCCAGCCCAAUCCAAUUAGUCGAGCAACUGAGUGGGCCCCAGGCCGCCUGAUUGAUUCAUUAGGCAACUUUAGGUCAUCUUCAAUGGAUCCGACCAGAUGAUCAUAGGGUCGAAAAUAGCCCUAAAUGACACAAGGACUAGGCCAAAGAGUUGUGGGCCCCACUAGGCCAAAACCAGUCAAUCAGGUCAGCAGGCUGGCCAUCUCCAGCCAGCUAACUAGCCUAAUAAGCUAGCCCACAUUUUUUUUAAGGAUUUUUUUGCCCAACCCACUUGUUUUUUUUUUAGCCUAUCCUUUCUUUUUUUUUGGUUGAUUUUUUUUUUAGUUUCUAAUUUUUUUCCUACACCAUUUCAUACUAUCUUAUCUCAUUUUAUUUUAAUUCUUUACAUUCCAUACCAUGACCUUUUGGCUCUCUCGGUUGAAGAUGAUUUUUUGUCACAUGGUUAUGUUUAAACCUAUGGUUCUUUGGCCCUCCGGUUGGAGAUGGUAUAAAAUAUGGCUUGAUAUUGUUUAUUAAAAUAUUAAUUUCUUGAAGGCUAUAGAGCUCCUGGCCCUCUUUCGGUUGGAGAUGGGCUUAGCCCGAGCUCUUACGAGUGGUUUGAUGACAUAUUGAAAUCAGCAUGUAGUCAGCCACGGAAGCCGACGAACGAAACCGCAAAAGAGGAGCGGAGGCUGCAGCAAAGCAAAGGAAAAAGCAGGGAAGCAAAUCCAGCGAUACUAUCUUAGCUGCCAAGAAGUCAAAACGGUUGAAGUAGAAUUCCAGGAGCGGGUGUUGACCGAGACCUCGGAGUCGGAAUCGGAAUCGGGUUUCGUUGAUUUCAAUGGCUGACUAGGUGGAAUUAGCGGAAGAGGAGGAGGAAGAUAGGAGGGGUGGUGGCCAAGAGCUUGGAAGAUUUGGAAGAAGAAGCCGAGCCAGCAGAGAGCUCCCUUAUUGGUGUUUUGGCACUUCACAUUCACCUUUAGCACAUGACUGCUUGGAUUGCAGCCGUUAAUUGCAUUUAGAUAUUUCGUUUUGCCUUGACCUGAUUCAGAUACUGUUAUGAUGAUGAUUGCACCAAGGAGGCAUAUAUUAUAGGCCAAAUUGGAUUAUUCAUCCCCGUGGUCAUAGGAAACUUGCAUGAUGACCCCCGUGGUGAAAAAACUAGGAAUUAAACCCCUGUGGUCAAGAAUAUUAGCAAAUUUAGUCCAAAAGUAAGAUUUCUGUUAAAUGAUUGUUAAAAGUAUGGGUAAAACUGUAUUUUCAGUUCCAAUUGACAUUUAAAAUAAAUAAUUUUUUUAUAACAAUUAACAAAAAAAAUAAUGCUUAAUUUUUUAAAUAAAAAAAAACCCUAAUUCAAUGUCAAUUGGAAUUGAAAAUACAGUUUUACCCCAACUUUUAACAGUCCUUUAACAGAAAUCUUACUUUUGGACUGAAUUUGCUAACAUUCUAGAUCACAGGGGUUUAAUUCCUAGUUUUUUCACCACGGGGGUCAUCAUGCAAGUGUCCUAUGACCACGGAGGUCAUCAUGCAAGUGUCCUAUGACCACGGGGAUGAACAAUCCAAUUUAGCUUAUAUUAUAUAUAUCAUGAAUCUACAUGUUAAAACUAUUCAAGUUUUUUAUUAAUUUGUAAUUCUGGGCUUUGAAACUGUCAAAAUUUCCUCAUUUCUCUAUUUCUGCACAUAAAAUCCUUUCCUACCGAACAUCCGACGCAUUCCCAAGUUGGAAGUUGGUAUUGCUUUCAUAGGGGGAUUGAAGCAUGCAUAUAUGCAAAAUUAUUUUUUCAGAAUUUAUUUUCAAGUUGCUGAACAUAACACAUUCUACACUUGCUAAUAUUUCGGUUUCAGCUGUAAAAACCAAGUCAUUGCAAAUCGUGAUGAGUUAAUUGAUGGGAAUCCAUGUUGACGGGCUCUACUCAACUUGUUGGGCGAAGUAACUCUCCAACUCUAAAGAUUAAACAUCUAUUAUGUAUUUUAACACCAAAUUUUAGAAAUCAAUUUGAAAUUUUGGAAAGUUUGUCAUUAAUAUGAUGUAAUUUUUUAUAAUACAAAUGGUAUUUAAAGUGGGACAUCCUAUGAAUUUAGUGUGGAACUAGUGGAAAUGCAUUUAAAAUCUAAUAAAAUGGGAACAUUUUUGCUCAUUUUAAUGCCAAAUUUUAGAAAUCAAUUUGAAAUUUCAGAAAGUUUGUCGUGAAUAUGAUGUAAUUUUUUAUAAUACUAAUGGUAUUUAAAGGGGGACAUCCUAUAAAAUUAGUGUGGAACUAGUGGAAAUGCAUUUAAAAACUAAUAAAAUUGGAACAUUUUUGCUCAUUCGCAUUAAUUUGGGAGUAUGUUCAUCAUAUUCUUUAAAACAUUUUUAAUAGAAGUCGUUAUUUGGCGACUUUCAUCAUUACUUUUGAGUUUUGAAGACUUAUUUAGAACAUCUUUAAUAGGGGCUUAAAAAAGAAUAUAUUUGUCUUUAAAAGAAAGGGACUUGGAUUGUCUGCCCUCUUAGUUAUGGUGCCCUUCCAUGCCUUCCUAUUUUGUGCGGUCACGAUUAAGCUACGUCAAUAUUUUAUAUUAAUUUUUUAAUAAGAUAAUAAGACAAAAAAUAAUAAAAAUAUAAAAUAUUGACGUGGCUUUACCGUGACCGCACAAAAUAGGAGGGCAUGGAAGGGCACCACAACUAGGAGGGCAGACAAUCCAAGUCCAAAAGAAAGUUAGCUUAAAUUGAGAGAUUCUUCAAUGUGACCGAAAUACGAGGUGGUACACCACUUGUUAUUAUGAUAAAAUGUGUAUUAGAAAAAUUAGUAACUUAAAAGAAUAAAUUUUUCAACAAUUUAUAUAAAAAUAUGUAUUGUAUUACAUGUGUACUGGUAAUAAUAAUAAAAUUUUCACUUUAAUGGGAGUGUACUUAGUAUAAUAUUUAAAUUUAGAGAUUAAAAAAAAAACAAAAAAUUUUGGUUUCCAAGGUGUCCCCGGGCAAAGCCCAAGACUAAUCUUUCGAGGUACGGACCGUACGGUCGGGCACAUAUGCGGGGACCUCUUCCAUUCUGACCAACCUCCAUUGGUAAAACAAACAAAAAAUUAUUCGCAAACCCCAAAAAGCUUUCAUAACCCUUGCAUCAACCGACAAAAUAAAAGUAGCUGCACAGUUUUUCAGAGUCCCAUCACGUGCUGGGACCUAACCCGACUCAAAUUUAGGACUUGGAUUGUCUGCUCUCCCAUUUCAGUACUCUCUUCGUGCUCUUCUGUUUGUGUGGUCACGUUUAAGCCACGUCAACAUUUUAUAUUACUAUUUCUUUUUGUUUUAUUAUUUUUAUAAAAAAAUAAUAUAAAAUGUUGAUAUGACUUAACCGUGACCACACAAAACAGGAGGGCACGAGGAGGGCACCAAAAUGGGAGGACAGACAAUCCAAGUCCUCAAAUUUAACAUGGCCCUCAGCCCAUUUGACAAUCCCUACGCAGAAAAUUAGAAGUAGAAAAGAAUACCAUUAGAUUAUAGCACUAAAUAAUUUUUGUAAUUUUUUUUUUUGUAAAAUGAUAUGUUUUAUAUUAAUCUACACAAUGAACAAUCUAAUUUGAUAUUGAAUUCAUCAUCCUCGAGAUUCAAACAUGAGAUCCCUUACUUAAAAGUAAAGAAAAAUAUCAUCAGAUCUUAAUACUCUGUAGCAAUGGCUCUUACAAUUUUAAAUAUUAACAAUUUAAAUAAACAAAUGAAAAAUUCUUUGAAGUUCCUAAUCCAACAACCCUAGAAAGAGAUCAUAUUCGGAUUCCUUCCAUCAAAUUCACCUAAUUAAUUAAUCCGGAUCGUUGAAAUUUGAUUCAACGAUUAUAAACAAAGGGCCAUUUAAAAGUUAUAAUAACUUUAACCGUUGGAUCAAAUUUUAAGGAUCCAGAUUAGGUGAUUAGAUGGAUUCGGUGAAAAGGAUCCAAAUAGAAUCCCUUUCCCAACAACACCGACAAUGUCUCUGUAUCUGCAAAAGUUGCCAUUAACGAGGAUACCAGGAAAGCCAGAUUGAAGCUUUGGUAGAAGCUCUUAAAAGCAUGAAGACAUAAACUUAAGGGAUGUGAUAAUCGCACACCUUUUUUUUUUACUUCUUUCACACUUAUUAAUUUCUAUCAUUUGAUCAUCUCUAAUUAAUUCGAUUAGACGGUCAAAAAUUAAGAAAGUGUGUAAGAAGUAAAAAAGAGUGUGAGAAUAGCACACCCCAAACUUGGAAUAGGAUCCUCUUUGGAUCUUCUUUGUGAGGAUUUAGAGGAUCAAUCAAUCGUGUUCAUUCAUUGUAGAUCGUGCGGUUAGAAAUCAUUUUAAAUUUUAAAUUAAAAAUUAAAUAUAAAUAAUAUCUAACGUAAACUAGCCGCACGAUUUAUAAUAAACGAAUAUGAUUGAUUAAUUUUUGAAUCCCCACAAAGAUGAUCCGAAGAGGAUCCUUGUCCCCCAAACUUAAACUCAACUUAGUUGUCAAGUGACUCAUGUGAGCUUAUUAACCCUCCCUUCCCUACACUACUGAUGCCAGUCAUCCGCCACUUGCUUAUUGGUUGUCAUUCCGAAUUAUGAUUGCAAACUAUGUUUAUUACCAACCUUUAUUUAAUUGUUGAUUGAAAAUGUUUAUUAGCCACUUGCUAACAUAGACCUUAGUUCACUUGCUGACGUAGGUCUUUGUUCAGCCCCUUAGUUUUAAAGGGAUUCCAAUUUUUUUAUGGAUAAUGAUAGGGAGACUAAAUUUAGAGAUAAAUUUUUAAAAAUUAAAGAACAUGAAAGUUGAUGAUUAGUUUAUUACUUAAACAUUUAUAAAUGUGUUCAUUAUUAUUGAUGACACAUUAUUUCGUUUGCAAAUUUUGUUUCUAAACUUAGUCUCUCUAGCAUUAUCUUUUUUUGAUAGAAAUGGGGACUAGUUAUGUGGCUCACUCCACAUCUUACUUCAACAUUCCCAUCUAUCUAAUUGAUUUUUUGUAAGAAUAGUCUAUGAAUGAAGACUUAAAAAAUAGACAUAGUUCGAAUUGUUAAAAUUCGAAGUAGAGUUAGCCCCACAAAUAGUCCAUUUUUUUUGUAAAUAAAAAAAAAUUGCUUUGGAUAAAGGCUUUGGGUCUUUGUUUAUGAUUAUCAGUCGCUUGGUGACGAGAGAUUUUUUAUUAUGUUCGGAACACAGACACAAAUGUCAUAUGUUAUUAAACAAGUAGAGUGACAACUGAAAUUAUAAAAUACAUAAGAAAAAUGAGUUAUGAAUAAGGGUAGUUGGAUGGAAGGGACAAAGAAGAUUGAAAAUUAAUAUAAAGGGGUUUCAAUUUUUUUUAUAAAAUGGAUACUAGUUGUGUGGCUCACUUCACAUCGAACUUCAAUAUUCAAACCAUUUAUUUUUUAAAUUGCAUUUUAUAGAUCAUUCUUACAAAACAUUAGUCAAAUCAGAAAUAUUUCAGGUAUUUAAUUGAUUUUUUGUAAGGAUGGUCUAUGAAUGAAGAUUUGAAAAAUAAACAUGGUUGAAAUUGUUGAAGUUCGAAGUAGAGUGACCCCCACGAUUAGUCCAAAUUUUUAUAAUAAAAAAGAGAGAAGGAAUCGCUUUGGAUAAAGGCUUUGGGUCUUUGUUUAUGGUUAGUAGUCGCUUGCUGAUGAGAUAUUUUUUAGUGUGUUCAGAAUAUGGGCAGACGCCUAUUAUUAAACAAGUGGAGAGACACUUGAAAUAAAAAAUUUCUCUCUAAUUAUAUAAUGACAAAUGAUAUACCACCUCAUGUUUCAGACACACUAAAAAUAUCUCUUGGUCGUGAUUGGUGAUAGAUCUUUGUUUAUGUCACAUGGUGAGAUAGGUGAUAGUUCUUGUGCUGGCAUAGGUCUUAGUUUAUUAGAAAUCUUAAUUGUUGCUUGAAAAUGUUAACAUGAUUGCAAACUAUCUAAUUUGUUUUAUAUGUAAAAGUCAAACCAUCUUUUGCAAUAACGAAAGCUUAAUUUAGUACAACUUGAUAAAUUGAGAGAGCUUAAAACAAGGGAGAGAGACAUGGAAACAGAGAUAUCUGGCAAGACGGAAAAAGUCUCCAAAAAAAUGGCGAAAUAAGAAACGAUCAAACAAAGUUGAACCCCACACCAUCUUUGUUCAAUGAGGCAUCCAAAUGAUGUAAUGAAGAAACAACUAUACAGGAGAUAAGAAAUGUUAAAGGGAGUGAAAAAUGAACCGUUUAAAUUAUACUUUAAAUUAAAACUUUAUUUCUAUUGGUUCGUACUAAUUCUGACUAUCUAAAUUAAAGAGUGGUUGGAGGAGUGUUGUUAAGGAGAUCCUAAGAAAAUUAUUUAGUUGUUUUAUUUCAAAUUUGAUUAAAAAAUAGGGAGAUGAUUGCAACAUGCUUCAAGCUAUUUUGCUUCUUAUUUUGUUCCUUAACGUCAAACUUUUUUAAUGUCACGUGAUGAGUAUUGAAUUGUCCUGAUAUUUCUACAUGUAUGUAAAUAGAGUUUUACAUGUUUUAUAUGAUUUGAAAACACGUAGCACUGCGAUCACCCUUGCUAGUUUGGCAUAAUAUCAAAGGAUGUUUGACUUGUACUACAAAUUACUAACGGUUUUCAUCACAAGGUUACAGUUAAAUUUUUUUUUAUCACAAGGGCUAAUCAUUAACAAUUACAUCAUAAUUAAUAAAAGUGAGCCUAAAUAAAUAGUCUUCUUAGCACUACACUUUCAGUUUUUUAUUUCGUAUUUUAAAAUAGGAAAACUUUUGAAUUUGAGGCUUAUUCCGAGCAUCACCGCAUUGGUCAGGCAAUUGGGCAAUUCUUGCCCAAAAACAAGAAAAGGUGCUCCGGCUCAAUUCGAUUAGUCAGGGGUGGAAGAGCAAUUGUCAAUCAUUCUGCUUUAUAACGUAGAAAUUAGCCUUAUAGAUAGGAGAGAGCAGAAAUUAGCCGAAAGCCCUAUUUGAGAGCUAACAUUUUCCUUUUUUAAAUAAUGGUAGGGAAACAAAAAAAAAAAAUUUAAAAAUUUACAAAUUAAAUGAUGUCUUAUUAAUAAAAAAUAAGAACGUUAAUUGAUAUUUAAUUAAUAAUUUAAUUAUUUACAACCACAUCAUUUAAUUUGUAAAUUUAGUGGAAAAAAUUUAUUUUCUCUAGUAUUACAUGCACCUUUAGAAAAAGAAAGUGAGAAAUAUAGAGGAAGCACCUUUGGAAAAAGAGAAUGAGAAAUAGAAAAUAUGCAUCUUUAGCAAAAGAUAGUGUAAAAAAGAGUGAGAAAUAGAAAAGAUGCAGCUUUAGUGAUUUUUUGGACAAUUAUUUGUCACGUGUUGUUUUAUUUAAUUUUGAUAUUAUUUUUUUUUAAAUUUAGGAAAAAAUCAAUCAAAGUUAAGUAAAAAGAUACGUGAUAGAUGAUUAGGUGUAUGAUAUGCAUACAUUAUAAUUUAUAAUGAUGAGCAAAAAUAGACCCUCAAAUAUUUGCUAUGCCAAAUACAAAUAGUGUUGUCCUUCUGAGUUACCUAGUUAUUAUUUCACCAAAGGUUUCAAGAAAUAAAACAAAAGAAAUGCACGUUACUUUUUUCAGUUUGAAGAAUAUUAAAUUUGUGGCUCAUUUUGUGUGGAACUUUGCACCGUGAAAGCCACUCAACAUUGUAAUAGUGAUGAUGACUUUGUUUCAAACAAAAAUUGUAUGUAGCCGACACUCUCAAUUGGAAAAGAAAAAAACGCUGUUGGCAUUUAUUCCACUCUGCAAAGUAUUUGCCUUAUAGAAAGAAGAGAGUGUGAGAGAGAAAUAGAGAAGAAAGGGAGAGCUGCUGCUCUUCCGAUGUUUCGGGCAAUCAGUGGCCCGAGCGGAGAAGCAUCAGACAGCGGGAGGCCCACCUCACGUGAAGGAACAGAGCCAAACGGCUCAAUUUCAAUGCAACAUGACACUCAGAUUCCAAAAACUUGCCCACUUGAACAGGAUUUAUUUGAAUUCGCUUCCAUAAAAAGUGGACUACAGCAUCCAUAUAUCCACUCUACUUGAACAUUUCAGUUACAGAAAUUUGAAAUCUCAAAUUUGGUUUCGAAGUGGAUAUGCUACUUUAUCUGCAAAAUUUCAGAGUUUUAGCUCCAAGAUUCAGUUCUAUUUUCUGCCGAAAAAAAGAAAAGUAAGUUUGAGUAAUUUCUUGUUUUUUCUUUUUUCACCAAAAUGUUGUGUCAACUAUUUUAUGAUUUUUUUUUCCGGUGCAACCGGAGUGAUAGAGCACUUAUAAUCAUCGGAUUUGAUGAAUGUUCAACAAAUUUCAAUUACUAGAUCAAAUCCGACGAUUGUAAGUGCUCCAACACUAUGUCUUGAGAAAUUUUGGUUUUUUUAGGACAACUACUAAUUAUAUUAGUUGUGUUUUGUCCAGUAAUUCUGAAAUUCAAAUCCAAAGGACAGAAUGGAAAACUCGCAUAUGGAAGUAAGUUGCAUAUGGACAGCGAAAACUCAAAAACCUCAUGAGUCUCUAGAUCAGAAAUAUUGGAAGAAAAUAUUUAUAUCAUCGUGUUUGUGUGCUAUCAUAUUGGAUCCAUUGUUCCUCUACAUUCCUAUUCUGAAGGAUGAUAUCAAGUGCCUUAUGUUAGAUCCGAAGUUGAAGAUAGUCACUCUUCUUUUGAGAUCACUCACAGAUUUUUUCUAUUUAAUGGACAUCAUUAUUCGAAUUUAUAGAUCUGAGAACUAUUCGGGUUUAAUCGAUGAACUUAACCGCAGACAACACCGGCUGAAUUUUAAUUUUGUGAUGAAAUCUUGUGUGCCAAGAAUAGCCAAGACAAUAUGGGCGUCAUAUGAUAUCUUAAUUGACAUUGUAGCUCUUCUUCCCCUUUCACAGGUAAGAACUUAAAUCCCUUUCUUGGAGUAAUUGUUUUCCCUAUUUGCUUUGCCUGCGGCCAAAACGGAUUUUUUCGUGUUAUAUGCACAAAACUGACACGUAAUGUAAUAUAUGUUUGAGUCUCACGUACACUUUGUUAGAGAGUAUUAAUUUUGUGUUCUAGACAACAUUGUUAUUCAUCCAUCAAAUUUUACUGUUGGCACUAGUAAUGAAUGGUAUCCAGGUGGCAAUCCUCAUUUUCUUCUCAAAAAUGAUUGACUUGAGAUCUUUGACUACAACAAGGAUGGUUCUUAUGAACGUUUUCGCUCUGUUGCAAUAUGUGCCACGAGUUCUUCGCAUCUACCUCUCAUUUAAAGAACUCAAAAAAAGGCCUCUUAAAGAAAAGCUUAGAGAGACUCCGAUAUGGAUUAAAGGUGUACUCAAUUUCUCUAUGUACAUCAUUGCUAGUCAUGUAAGUUUCAAUAUAUUAUCUGUUUUUUUUUUGUCAAAUCAAUUCUUAUUAUCCUGGUCUCACUUUUGUUUAUUAGAAAGAGCGUGAAAUGACUAUUUUGAAGUAACCAUAGCAUCUAAAAUAUUAAUAAUUUCCCCAGGCUAUUUAUUUGUUUGUUUAAUUUUCAGGUAGCCGGAGCCCUGUGGUAUUUUUUUUCUAUUCAACGAAUGAUGAUUUGUUGGCAUUCUGCAUGUCGAAAAAAUGAUGGAUGUGAUAACAGAAUGUUUGGUUGUCAUGAUCACCACUUCUUUAGAAAUACCACAAUUUUAAAUGAUUUAUGCCCUGUCAGUGAUGGUGAUAAUUCAUCAGACACAAUGUUCUUUGAUUUUGGUAUAUUUGCUACUGCGCUUGAAUAUGGUCUUGUGGGAUCAACCAGUUAUUUCAAAAAGUUCUUGAACUGUUUCUGGUGGGGUUUGCGAAAUUUAAGGUUUGUACAUUUUUGUCUUCCUUUGUUGAGAAAUUUAGACUUUUUAAGGUUUCUGAAUUUGUUCACGAUUUAUAUCAAUUCUUUUUGUUGAGGGUAUAAAUCACAUCGAGAACCUAAAGUAUUGCUUCUACGAAAUAGAGUCGAGUAGAAGGCCUCGUAGAGAUUAAAAAUCAAGUUGAGAGACAAAAAUGUUAUCGUGGAUAAAUUGUAGGAAGAAGGCACCAUGGAACCAAAUAAACCCUUGGAAAAAUGGUUGUGAAUUUGUAAGUUUAUAACUUGAAAUUUGAUAUCUUAUAUAAUGAUCCAUUAAUUUCAUUUUUGCAGUUCCUUGGGUUCAAAUCUUGAGCCAAGUGCUGAUGGAUGGGAGAAUCUCUAUACGAUUUUUAUUUCUAUAAGUGGCUUGCUUCUGUUUUUAUAUCUCAUCGGAAAUUUGCAGGUUUGCGUAAAAAACUUUUCGUAUGUCUCAUUAAUUAAGUGCUAUUAAUCACUCCAAUUACGUAAACUUGAUAUGUGAAGAUUUUGAUAUCCAUCAAAUUCACUCUAAUCUAAUAUAUGUUAAGUAUGAGUUUUAUUUUUUUCACUAAAUCUAAAUGCCAUGUAUAAGAAAUUUCUACUUGUAACAGGAACACUUACCACAUAAUAUAUUAUUCUACGUGUUAUCAUAUAAGUAGAUGACAUAGAUGAUAUUCUCGGUUUUAGGAUGUAUUAAUAAAAACCAAAUCUGUGUGUAAUUUGAAUGAGAUGGUAACACCAUGUGACCGUGUUCUGGUUUUAGAUAUCAUACAUAAAAAACUAAAAAAAAAAAAUUUGAACUUGGAUGAUAUAAAGUAGCCAAUGACUAUUUUUUGCAUUGGGCUGAUGAUAUAAAGUAGCCAACAGCUACUUUUUGCAUUGAAAGUUGGGGGAACACCCCCACGUGGGGUUCCUUUUCUUCAGCAGAAAUGUGGGGCCCAUUUUACUUUGUGGCUUAAAAUGUGAUCGGAAUUUGGCCCCCAUUUGGGUUUUAGGUUUUCGGCUUACUUUAGGUCAUGGGUUGGAGUGGGUUUUGGGAGGAAAAAAGGGAAAUUUUAGGUUAUAAUUCAUGGUUGGAGUUGGUCUAAGGCAUGUAUUAUCCUUCAGAUGGGUCUGGUUCAAUCGGAUUAUUAGCAUUUCAACCUAACUCAAAAUAGAUGGUCGAGUUUUUACCCAAAAAUAACUUUUUAACGUUUAGAACCCAACCUAUAUCAGUUGAGUUGGUCAGACAUGCCCACCCCUACUUGUUAUUAAGGUAGUAGUAUUUCAUUCUUUCUUUUUUUUUUGGAUUGAAAUAGUAGUAUUUCUUUUUUGUAAUGUAGAAAAAAAAGAUUAAACUAAAAAUCUAAUAUAUUGAUGACAUUCAACUUCAAAGAAAAAUAGUUGUUAUCCAAUAUGACAAUCUAAUUCUUAUCAAUCUCUUACUUGUUGAAUAGAUGUAUAUGCAAUUUGAAACUACAAGAAGAGAGGAUCGCAAACGCAAGAUGCUAAUCGAACAGAAGGUGGAAGAAAAAGGUCUUGAUAUAGAAUUAUGGUUAUUUAAAAGAGGCGUUCCCACUAGGUUGAAUAAGGAUAUGAAGUUGCAAAUAAUAGAAAAGGUACAACAAGCACUUGAAGACGGUAUGGAAAUUAAUUUGGAUAAAAUUUUCCCUCUUCUUCACUCGGACGUUCAAAGCCGUAUAGAAGAUUAUAUGCCUUUGACAAAGUUGAAGCAAGUAAGUUCUUUAUAUCUGAAUUUACCCUUUAAUUAAUUACUCACUUUGAUAAUCACAUAAAACGAGUAUAGUAUCUCUUUAUCUUUUGGAUAAGGCCUAUUUGUCGAAAUCUCCCCUAAACUUUUAACCUACUGUCAGUUUACCCUUUGAACUUAAAUUUUAACCAAUUACUCCCUUAAGACUUUUAUUUAUGGCCAAAUUCCCAACUUCCGUUAAAUAUCACCCAUUUCAUCCAUGAUUCCGUUAGUUUGGAGGGCAAAAUCGUCAUUUAGAACCCUUUUUGAAUUAGCAUCUGGGACAUGCGACAUGCCAUUGGAGGCUGUGGUUCUGUGCGUGGGCUUGCCAAUGGAGGUUGUGGGGUGAGUGGGUUAUGGCGGGGUGGUACUGGGGCUGAAUUUGAGGGAAGCGGUAGGCGGAUGAAUUUGAUAUGAGAUUAGGGGUGGCUGGUGGUUUGAGAUUUGGGGUGGAUGAGAAGGGUUACAAUUGGGUAGAAGAGGGGAGGUGAGAGAUGUGGUUUUUUAUUUUCAUUUUUAAAUCUUACUUUUAUUGUGAAUCAUGGAUAAAAUGUGAGAAACUUAAACGGCAAGGGGAAUUUGGCAAUAAAUAAAAGUUUAGGGAGAUCAUUGACUGAAAAUAAAGUUGAGGGGUAAAUUGGCACUAGGUUACAAGUUUAGGUUGAGAUCAAAUGAUAAGACCCACUCUCCGGAUUGAUGACAACAGGUCGCAAUCAUAACAGAGGACGAUGAUCACAGUGGGUGGCAGAAAACAGGGAUUGGGGUCAUCGGAGAAGAGAGUGAAUUCAAUGUUCGAUCAGAGUUUGGUUGUGUGUUUAUAGGGACCUGGCUUCUCUGCCCUCCCACUUUCCAUACACUCUCAUCCCUUUCUAUUUAUAUAGUCACGAUUAAGCCACGUCAACAUUUUAUAUUACUAUUGCUUUUUGUCUUAUUAUCUCUAUAAAAAAAUCAAUAUAAAAUAUUAACGUGACUUAAUCGUGACCGCACAAAAUAGGAGGGGAUAUAAGUGUAUGGGAAGUUGGAGGGCAGAGAAGCCGGGUUCUGUUUAGAGACUUGAAAAUGAACACUUGUCUUUAUUGUAUUGGACUAUUAGGAGGUCAGUAAAUUUUGAGUACUGAACAGGCAGUACCAAGUAUUAUCUUCAUCAUUUUAUUAAGAAUUUAGUUAACUGUUGAUGAUUGUACCUUUAUCCUUAAUGAGAAUUUCUUCCUAUGGGUUUUCUUGCUUUCUCUCUGAUAGUUUAACAACAUGAAUUCCAGGUGCCAAUGCUUCGAGGGAUGGAUGAAGGUUUGUUGAAAAUAAUCUAUGAGAAACUCGAGCAUGUGAGAUAUACUGAGAGUGAGAACAGCUUUAUUAUUCAAAAGGAUAAACCACUUGAGAAGAUGGUCUACAUUGUAGACGGAUUUGUAUACAUUAAAGAGGGAUCUUCUUCGAGACGAGGUGCAAGUGCAGGUGCAAGAGAAUUAUGUGGAGAAGAACUUCUACGUUGGCCAUUCUCCACUUUCUUCUUUCUUAGAGAACCGUUGUUGGCAACUGAAUCUGUCAUGGCAACUGGUGUUGUUGAAACCCUUGUUCUCAACGCAUCGGACUUGCGAAGUGUAAGCUCUUAAUCAAAUGCACAUUUCCUUUAAUAAAAUUGAGCAUCGAUAGGAAAAUUAAUUGGGAUAAAAGAGAGAUCCAAGAAUUACCUGUAUUUAAAAUAUCAGACAAGACUUUCAUGUUUUCAACGCAACCCUUCACAUGCGGGGGAACUUAAGCCUAAUGUGUGGAGUAGACAAGACAUAUUGAGUGAUGUAUAGCACUUAUAUAGUCUCAUCUAAAACCAUAUUAAAAUUGAGCCUCCAUCUUAGUUAAAACCAUUGGGAAUAGGAGGGAGAGGGUCCAAAAUUAUUUUAAAUUAUUAGGCAAAAUUUUAUUUCCUCUGACAACUUCAAUAAGCCUAUAAGCUAUAAUAAACUCUAAUUACCUCAAUUUGAUUGUAAUUUGGCUAGAUUUUCUUUUACUUGAACUAACAAACUCUAACCACCUUUUUGUUGUUGUGGAUUAAUAGAUAUACAAUCAAUCAGACAUUUUUGAAAAAGAGGCGCGUAGACACAAAGGAAUGAUGAAAAAGGAGAUUGAGCUAUAUAUAGAUGGAUUGAUACGUAAGAAUGAGAUUGUUAUAAGGUUGAAUCAUGACGUAAAGUCGCGGAUCAUGAAAAAUGUAGAAGAAAAAUUUCAUCAAGAUGAUCUUUAUUGGGAUCAUCUCUUUUCUCAUCUUCCUAGGGAUUUUCAAGAUGAGAUCGAAAGGUACUUGCCAGUGACUAAGUUGGAGAAGGUAAAGUUUCUUCAAAUCCAAGAAUCCAUGGUUUUAAUUUAGAACAUAGAAUUUGAGGCAUUUAUUUAUUUAUAGCUCUCAUCCCAAUAUCCCAUGCGCAUGUGAUAUUAUAGCUCCAGGCAUUUAAAUACAGCAUAACUAACGUAUAUUAUACCAACCCCAACCUAGGGCCUAGGCUACAUACAAUCUAGCCCUUGCCCAUGAUAAGGUGGAGCGUAAGUACAUGAGACAGAAAAAAAACAAACAAAAGAAAAAAUAAGCUGCCAAAUAGAAGAAUUUGCCAGCCAAUAAAGACCAUUCACUUGGAACUUUCUAACCCCUAUCCCUUCACACCAAUAAAUUUUAAAAGGAAAACCAUCCACUUGGAUACAUUUUUAUAUUACUUGAAGCAUGUGAACAUUUGUAGUUAUAAUCAUCCAAAUAACCCAAAAAUGGUAAUUAACUAAAACCAGGGAAAAAAUUUAAAAAUAUGCUAUAAAAAGUGAGUGGUAGAAACAGGAAAAGUGUGAUACUAAUUGGAUAGAAAAAUUAAAAAGAAGUCAUGCUUAUGGCAUUAGUUAGGUUUUUUAUUGGCACGACUCAUUUAAGAAAAAUACUAAGGAGACCAUUAAGAAAAACAAUCAUCAAACGUUGUAGUAGUUACGUUUUUUAUUCUCCCUCUUCUUCCUUCGGAUGUUCAAAGGUGCAAAAAAAAAAAAGAGCCUUUUGCCAAGUUGAAGCAAGUAAUUACUCACCUUGAUAAGCAUAUAAAACGAGGAUUGUAUCUCUUUAUCAUUUUAAUAAGAAUUUAAUUAAUUCUUCCUAUGACUUUUCUUGCUUUCUCUCUGAUUUUAACAAUAUGAAUUCCAGGUGCCAAUGCUUCGAGGGAUAGACGAAGAUGUGUUCAAAAUAAUCUGUCAGAAACUCGAGCCUGUGAGGUAUACUGAGAACACCUUUAUUAUUCAAAAGGGUGAACAACUGGACAAGAUGGUCUACAUUGUAGACGGAUUUGUAUCCGUUGAAAAGAGAUCUUCUGUUGAUUCGAGACAAGGUGCAGGAGAAUUAUUUGGAGAAGAACUUCUACGUUUGCCAUUCUCCACUGACUUUCCUUUCACAAGACCGUUGGCAACUGAAUCUGUCAAGGCAAUUGGUGUUGUUGAAGCCCUUGCUCUCUACGCACAUGACUUGCAAAGUGUAAGCUCUUAAUCAAAUGCACAUUUCCCUAAUUACAAUUGAGCAUCCAUAGUAAAAUUAAUUGGGAUAAGAGAGAGAUCCAAGAAUUACCCCCCUUAUUUAAGCUAUCAGAUAAGACUUUCAUGUUUUCAAUGCAACCCUUCACAUGCGGGGCCAUUUAAGCCUAAUGUGUGGAGUAAACAACACAUAUUGAGUGAUGCAUAGCACGUAGAUAGCCUCAUCUGACACCCUAUUAAAAUUGAGCAUCCAUCUUAGUUAAAACCAUUGGCAAUAGGAGGGAGAGGGUUCAAAAUUAUUUAAAUUAGAUUCAUAUAAUCUGAAAACUUCAAUAAGCCUUUACGAAACUCUAACAACCUCAAUUUGAUUGUAAUUUGGCUACAUAUUCUUUUACUUGAACUAACGAACUCUAACAACCUUUUUGUUAUUUUGGAUCAAUAGAUAUACCGCAAAUUAGACAUUUUUGAAAAAGAGAAGCCUAGACACAGAAUAAUGAUGAAGGAGGAGAUUGAGCGAAAUAUAGAUGAAUUGAUAUGUAGUAAUGGAAUUCCUGAAAGGUUGAAUCAAGAUGUAAAGUCGCGGAUGAUGAAAAACGUGGAAGAAAAUUUUCAACAAGAUGAUCUUUAUUGGGAUUUGCUCGAUUGGGAUCAUCUCGUUUAUGGUCUUCCCUUGGAUUUUCAAAAAGAGAUCAUAAGUUACAUGCCGUUGACAAAGUUGAAGCAGGUAAAGUUUCUUCAAAUCCAUGAAUCCAUGGCUUUAAUUUUGAACAUAGAAUUUGAGGCAUUUAUUUAUUUGAAGCAGGUAAAGUUUCUUCAAAUCCAUGAGAUAUUAUAGCUCCCAGGCAUUUAAAUACAGCAUAACUAACGUGUACUAUACCAACCCCAACCUAGGGCCUAGGCUACAAAACAAUCUAGCAAUUGCCCAUGAAUAAGGUAGAGCGUAAGUACACGAGACAGAAAAAAACAAAACAAAAGAAAAAAUAAGCUGUCAAAUGGAAGAAUUCGUCAGCUAAUAAAGACCAUCCACUUAGAACUUUCUAACCCCUAUCCUUUCACACCAAUAAAUUUUAAAAGGAAAACCAUCCACUUGGAUGCUUUUUUAUAUUACUUGAAGCAUGUGAACAUUUGUAGUUAUUAUUAUCCAAAUAACCCAAAAAUGGUAAUUAACUAAAACCAGGAAAAAACAAUUAAAAAUAUGCUAUAAAAAAGUGAGUGCUAGAAACAAGAAAAACAUGACACUUAUGGGGUUGCAAUAAUGUCAUGAUUCAUUUAAGAAAAAUAUUAUGUGAUGAUUAAAAAAAUAAUAAUAAUUAAACACCGUAUUUUGUGGUCUACAAAUUAUAAUUUAAAUAGAUCUAAAGCCACAAUGCAUCAUUUCAACUGAGCAACAAUCACACCUUUCACAUUUACGUGGCCACUUUUUCUUGUAGUAAGCAAACACAAGAACGGUCCGAAGGCUGCAGAUUUUAAUAAAAACGUUAGAGAUUAAUGAUGGAUGGAAAGUUUUUAAAAUUCAUGAGUUAGUUAUAAGUAUAUACUUAUGUAUUAGAUUUUUUUAAUCCGUCAAUUAAGUUACUUAUAUGUUAUAAAAUGUAGGUGCUAGCAUUCCAAAACAUGGAUUAUAAAGUUCUGAAAGAAAUUUGUAACCACCUUCGGCCCAAGACGUAUAAUCGUAACGAUAACAUUAUUAAAAAGGGUGACCCAAUUCAAAUGUUGUUGAUUGUGGAAGGAAGAAUAGGCCAAGAAGGUUGGGUAAAAGACGCGGGAGAAAUCUAUGGAGAAGAACUUCUGGUUUGGCCAUUCUCAACCUCUUUCCCUGAUGAAGUACCUGCAGCAGCUAAGUCUCCUUUUGUAAUUACGGAUGUUGUUGAAGCCCUUGUUCUGACGGCCGGUGACAUGGAGAGUGUAGCCACCAAAUUCCGGAAGCAUUUCAUAAAAAAUUACGGCAAAUUCGUACGGAAAUCGGAAUUCGACCUUUUUACUGACUAUUAUUCUGAAGGGGCUAUUAAGGAGGCCACAAGAAACUACACUUGUUUGAACAAUCCAAAUGAAGAAGGCUAUGGAACAGUUUACCACACAGAAUUAGAUGGAAGAGCUGUCGCCAUAAAAACGUGCAACAGUGCUAUUGGUGACCCGUUCAUCCAAAGUCAACGUCUUGUUCAUGAGGCAUUUGUGCUUUUAGAAAUCAGUCACAAAAAUGUGGAGAGGCUGUUAGGUUGUUGUUUAGAGACAAGAUGGCCUAUAAUGGUUUAUGACCGCACCGAUGCUUUGACUCUUGCUGAGCACUUUCACAGAAACAGAUCGAAACUCUCGUUGGAAUCACGAAUGAAGAUAGCAGCAGAAACUGCAGGAGCUCUAGCACAUGUGCACUCCAGGUCAGUCAUACACCGAGAUGUGAAGACAACGAAUAUAUUAGUAGAUCGUACAACUCACACUGUACAAGUUACCGGUUUUGGAGCUUCGCGAUUGCUUGAUGAAGAUGAAGUAUCAACUUUGCCAGGGACAUCCAGACACUUAGACCCCGAGUAUUAUCUUAAAUCACACGACGUCUAUAGCUUUGGAGUUGUUCUAGUGGAGCUACUAACACAUCAAGAGGCAGUUUCUUCUAAUGGGUCUGAGACAUCCCUAGCAAACGACUUUGUUCGUUCAGUGCAAGAGGAUCGCUUGGGCCAAAUUCUCGAUGGUGAAAUAAACAGAGACAAGUUCAGUUUUGAGAUGGCCAAAAAAGUGAGCGAGCUUGCCGUGACAUGUUUGAGGUCAAGGGAGGAGGAAAGGCCUUCAAUGGAAAAAGUAGCUGAGGAGCUUGAGGGAGUAGUGCAAACCAUUAGAAACAGGGUAGAGUAUUCUACGGUGGACGAUAAUGUAUCUUCGGCUUCUAGAACUUCCGAGUGAAGUAUUGAUGUGAACCCGUGCGGCUGGUUUCAGUUUGAGUCUGUGCUUGUGAAAUAAUUGACAAGUCAGAUGCAUUUGCUAGUUUGAGGAAACCGUGGAAUUUGGAAUUAGUAUCAAAUAUUGUAACUUAUAUAUUUUUGCCCAUUUAAUUUAUCUUUGCCCUUCUCUUGGCACAAACAUCUGGAAUUAUCUAUUGGUCCCCACAGAAAUCCAUAAUCUCUAAAAAGAGAUGGCCGAAAUUCAGAACUAGAGAACCAUAAAUAGAAUCCACUAGAAAGUGUCUCGUUGUCGUAGGAUUGAAAAUAAAUAAAACAUUGUGCUGCUGAUCCUUUUUUUUUUUUUUUUUUUUUGCAUUAUACUUAACAAAUUUACAAUGUCAAACAACAAACUGGCAGCUGGAAAGGGGAAAAUGACUACUAAAAAAUCAACACUAUUUCAACUAAACCUAUACCCCAACCAAGCAAAACCAAAUGCACACUGAUAAUACCUUGAAGUAUAAAAAUAAGGAACCAAGCAGAUGCAACAAAUGUAACAUCAUUUCAAUAGCAAAAACGAAAACUGACAUUUGGUUCAAAAAUAUUAGAGGAAGUAUAGGUCAUAGUGUGUGAUAUGCAAAAGUGCUAGUAAUUCAAAUUUCCAACAUGCUCAGCAAAUCUCUAACUUUUCAGAAGUAAUUAAAUUGAAACUAAUAGAUGUUUCUUCUGCAUACUAAAUAUUGAAGAUUCGCUACGAAGAAUGAAUCCGUAACUUACUUAGGUUUCAAAGUGGACUACACAAUCCAUUAAUCUAAACAGAACUGUCCCAGCAAAGCAAACAAUUUAAUCUCAUUCCUCCAGAAAUGGCAUGUUUUAUUACUUCAACAACAACAACAAAGCCUUUUCCCACUAAGUGGGGUCGGCUAUAUGAAUCCUAGAACGCCAUUGCGCUCGGUUUUGUGUCAUGUCCUCCGUUAGAUCCAAGUACUCUAAGCCUUUUCUUAGAGUCUCUUCCAAAGUUUUCCUAGGUCUUCCUCUACCCCUUCGGCCCUGAACCUCUGUCCCGUAGUCACAUCUUCGAACCGGAGCGUCAGUCGGCCUUCUUUGCACAUGUCCAAAUCACCGGAACCGAUUUUCUCUCAUCUUUCCUUCAAUUUCGACUACUCCUACUUUACCUCGGAUAUCCUCAUUCUCAAUCUUAUCCUUUCUCGUGUGCCCACACAUCCUACGAAGCAUCCUCAUCUCCGCUACACCCAUUUUGUGUACGUGUUGAUGUUUCACCGCCCAACAUUCUGUGCCAUACAACAUCGCUAGCCUUAAUGUCGUCCUAUAAAAUUUUCCCUUGAGCUUCAGUGGCCUACGACGGUCACACAACACGCCGGAUGCACUCUUACACUUCAUCCAUCCAGCUCGUAUUCUAUGGUUGAGAUCUCCAUCUAAUUCUCCGUUCUCUUGCAAGAUAGAUCCUAGGUAGCGAAAACGGUAGCUUUUGUGAUCUUCGCUAGAUUGCUCCGGUCAUUAGUGUGGAUAAGUAUAUAAAUGGAUAGAGAUAGGAAAGCAAACACAAGAUGUACGUGGUUCACCCAGAUUGGCUACGUCCACGGAAUAGAAGAGUUCUCAUUAAUUGUGAAGGGUUUACACAAGUACAUAGGUUCAAGCUCUCCUUUAGUGAGUACCAGUGAAUGAUUUAGUACAAAUGACAUUAGAGUACAAAUGACAUUAGGAAAUAUUGUGGGAGAAUGAUCUCGUAAUCACGAAACUUCUAAGUAUCGGAGUGUGGUAUCAUCUUGACUUGCCUUAUCUGUCUCAUAGGUAGAUGUGGCAGCUUCUCUGGAAGUACUCUUCCUCCAUCCAGGGGUGGUAUCUUUAACUGGUAAAGAUGCACAAGGUAAUGUAUCAAUUUCACUUGAAGCUUACUUGUAGUGUCAGGCUUGGUCCAGCGCGAUACAAACCAUGUAGUAGGAGUCCCCCAAGUCGCCGAGCUAGGGGAUCUGCUGAAAGAGGUGACAGACAAGGUAAGCAAUCAGAGCUCCGGCUGAUUGUUCACCUUCUCCUCAUCUUGCAGCAGCAUGAAGGAUAAAGAGAAGAAAAAUGAGAAUAGAUGAUAUGGGAUACUUUUGCUUUUGAAGAAGUAACUUUCCACAGGCUUAUUCUUGAACUGAGCUGGAGGGUUUUCUAGUUUCCUCCAGAGUAUAAGGCCGACUGAAGAAUUUGAGGGUCAAAACAAGUCCAUCAAAUCUAGAGUACGUUCGACCCUGCUGAUAUGGGAUACUUUUGCUUUUGACAGAGUAAUGGAUGUAUCGGCACGUGUGCUGUUACGCUUGUCUCCACAUGCUUCCUUGUAUCCUUCGCACUUGCCCUAUCUGUUGCUCAAGCAGAUGCGAUAUCUUCCCUGGAAACAUAAGAUGUUGAAGAUGAGUACUCGAGAGCAAUGCCAGGUAAGUAAUCAGGUAAGGGGUUCCAGGCAGUCAGUUCCUGGCUGGGAGCUUGAUUUCAAGUGCUGACUGAUUGCUCUAUUUCUCCUUGUCUUGCAGGUAAAAACAAGGCCAAAGGUAAAGACAGGGAAAAAGCAUGAUAUGGGAUACUCUUGCUUUUAACCCUGAUGAUAUGAGAUAUUCUUGCUCUAGUAUAGCUUGAUUGCAGAGGUAUUAUCGGGGGGAAAGAAAGCUGAAUAUUUCGAAAGGUUUCGUUGGGAAUGCCCUCUCAGAUAUAAGGAAGGGUUGAGCAUUUUUGCAGGUCUGCCUGUCCGUUGGGGAUGAAGGUCGACAUAUAUAGGAGUCUCCCUAACAACAAGUAGUAAUGCUAUUCCUUUACCCUGCUUGGUCAUAGCACGGUAGUGGGAGCUGUCAGCUUCACAUGUUUUAACUCUGUCAAAGCACUUUGAAAAAGUGGUAUGUGGUAUCUGGCUCUCGAGAUUCGGAGAACGAUGCUUCUUCGAUUUUUGAGAAAGCAAUCAUGCUGGGGGUCUGGCUCUCGAGAUUCGGGGAGCAGUGUCUCUUCGAUUUUUGAGAAAGUAAUCAUGUUGGGAGUCUGGCUCUCGAGAUUCGGAGGGCGGUGCCUCUUCGAUUUUGGAGUAAGCAAUCUUGUUGGGAGUGUUUUCUCGGAUGUGAGUAAAGGUUAGGCAUGUUUGCUAGUCUACCUUGCCACGAAGCACGGAGGUUGACACAUAGGAACUUUCCAAUUAUCCAGCAGUGGUACUGUUCCUUUACCCUUGUGGGUAAUAAUAUGGUAGCAAGACCUUCAAAAUUUAUGUGUCUAAACUUUGUUAGUGCUGUUUCUUUGCUAUUGUUUUACCUUUCUACUUCACCAGAAGUCUUCGACAAAAUGCCCAUAAUUUUCGCAAAGCUGAGUGUGCGUGUGACAGGUGCUGACAAGGCUAGAAAAGUAGGUGCCUCUUCGAUUUCUGAGAUCGGCCCUCGAGGUCUCUGAGCAGCCCAGCUUUUGAGAAAGCGAGCGCCUCUUCGAUUGAUUCGGAGAACGAUGCCUCUUCGAUUUUUGAGAAAGCAAUCAUGCUGGGGGUCUGGCUCUCGAGAUUCGGGGAGCAGUGUCUUUUCGAUUUUUGAGAAAGUAAUCAUGUUGGGAGUCUGGCUCUCGAGAUUCGGAGGGCGUGCCUCUUCGAUUUUGGAGCAAGCAAUCUUGGUGGGAGUGUUUUCUCGAAUGUGAGUAAAGGUUGGGCAUGUUUGCUAGUCUACCUUGCCACGAAGCACAGAGGUUGACACACAGGGACUUUCCAAUUAUCCAGCAAAGGUACUGUUCCUUUACCCUCUCUUCGAUUUUUGAGAAAGUAGUCAUAUUGGGAGUCUGGCUCUCGAGAUUCGGAGGACGAUGCCUCUUCGAUUUUGGAGCAAGCAAUCUUAUUGGGAGUGUUUUCUCGAAUGUGAGUAAAGGUUGGGCAUGUUUGCUAGUCUACCUUGCCACGAGGCACAGAGGUUGACACACAGGGACUUUCCAAUUAUCCAGCAGUGGUACUGUUCCUUUACCCUUGUGGGUAAUAAUAUGGUAGCUAGACCUUCAAAAUUUAUGGGUCUAAACUUUGUUAGUGCUGUUUCUUUGCUAUUCUUUUACCCUUCUUGGUCAGAGCGAUGUAAUGGGAGCGGCAAGCUUCACGUGCUCAACUUUGGCAGAGAACUUUGGCAAAGUUAUCUGUGGUACCCAUGAGCUAUUGUUGUGUGUGGGAAGUGGGUGAUUGGACAGUAAGAUUCAUGUGUUUUCUACUUCCCCAGAAAUCUUCGACAGAAUACCCAUAAUUUCCGCAAAGCUGAGUGUGCGUGUGACAGGUGCUGACAAGGCUGGAAAAGUAGGUGCCUCUUCGAUUUCUAAGAUCGGCCCUCGUGGUCUCUGAGGAGCCCAGCUUUUGAGAAAGCGAGCGCCUCUUCGAUUUCUGAGAUCGACUUUCGUGGUCUUUGAGCAGCCCAACUUUUGAGAAAGCAAACACCUCUUCGAUUUAUGAGAUCAACCCUCGUGGUCUCUAAGCAGCCCAGCUUUUGAGAAAGCAAACGCCUCUUCGAUUUCUGAGCAGGCGCCUCUUCGAUGUCUGAAGCUCCGUCGAGUGCAACUUUUUAUAGGGGCUAGCAUUAAGUUCCAAAGCACACUUGAAUCUCCACCAGUAGAAGCUCCAUUCUUGCACUUCUAAGAUCUUGAUUUGUCCGACCUCUUCUCUCUUCAACACCUUUGAAAAUGUCUGGCCCCUCCGACUGUCGUUUUGACUUGAACCUUGUUGAAGAGGCAGCCCCGCCUUCUCCAGACAACAUAUGGCGCCCAUUCUUCGUUUCCCCUACUGGUCCUCUUACCGUUGGGGAUUCCGUGAUGAAGAAUGAUAUGACCGCUGCGGUGGUGGCCAGGAACCUUCUCACUCCCAAACAUAACAGACUACUUUCCAAACGGUCUGAUGAGUUAGCUGUUAAGGAUUCGCUGGCUCUCAGUGUUCAGUGUGCAGGUUCUGUGUCUAAUAUGGCCCAACGCCUAUUUGCUCGAACCCGCCAAGUUGAAUCAUUGGCGGCCGAAGUGAUGAGUCUCAAACAGGAGAUUAGAGGGCUCAAGCAUGAGAAUAAACAGUUGCACCGGCUCGCACAUGACUAUGCUACAAACAUGAAGAGGAAGCUUGACCAGAUGAAGGAAACUGAUGGUCAGGUUUUACUUGAUCAUCAGAGAUUUGUGGGUUUGUUCCAGAGGCAUUUAUUGCCUUCGUCUUCUGGGGCUGUACCGCGUAAUGAAGCUCCAAAUGAUCAACCUCUGAUGCCUCCUCCUUCUAGGGUUCUGUCCAGUACUGAGGCUCUGAAUGAUCCCCCUCCGAUGCCUUCUCUUUCUGGGGCUCUACCGACUGCUGAGACUUCUCCUAAGCAACCUUUGUGAAGGCUCCAUCUUGUUUGUUUAUUUUGACUCAUGUAUAUGUACAUAUUUGUAGCUUAUCGGGGAUAUCAAUAAAUAAGCUUUCCUUCAUUUCAACGUAUUGUGUUAAAUACACCAAAGCCUUCUUCGCUAAGUUCUUUGAAUUUUCUUUUGUUGAAGCUUGUAUGUUGAAGCUUUCUGAGUGGAGCAUGUAGGUUGGGGUAGUGUUCCCUUAAUUUUCCGAGUGAGGAAAACUUCUCGGUUGGAGACUUGGAAAAUCCAAGUCACUGAGUGGGAUCGGCUAUAUGAAUCUUAGAACGCCAUUGUGCUCGGUCCUGUGUCAUGUCCUUCGUUAGAUCCAAGUACUCUAAGUCUUUUCUUAGAGUCUCUUCCAAAGUUUUCCUAGGUCUUCCUCUACCCCUUCGGCCCUGAACCUCUGUCCCAUAGUCGCAUCUUCUAAUCGGAGCGUCAGUAGGCCUUCUUUGCACAUGUCCAAACCACCGUAACCGAUUUUCUCUCAUCUUUCCUUCAAUUUCGGCUACUCCUACUUUACCCCGGAUAUCCUCAUUCCUAAUCUUAUCCUUUCUCGUGUGCCCACACAUCCAACGAAGCAUCCUCAUCUCCGCUACACCCAUUUUGUGUACGUGUUGAUGCUUCACCGCCCAACAUUCUGUGCCAUACAGCAUCGCCGGCCUUAUUGCCGUCCUAUAAAAUUUUCCCUUGAGCUUCAGUGGCAUACGGCGGUCACACAACACGCCAGAUGCACUCUUCCACUUCAUCCAUCCAGCUUGUAUUCUAUGGUUGAGAUCUCCAUCUAAUUCUUCGUUCUUUUGCAAGAUAGAUCCUAGGUAACGAAAACGGUCGCUCUUUGGUAUUUCUUGAUCUCUGAUCCUCACCCCUAACUCGUUUUAGCCUCCAUUUGCACUGAACUUGCACUCCAUAUAUUCUGUCUUUGAUCGGCUUAUGCGAAGACCUUUAGAUUCCAACACUUCUCUCCAAAGGUUAAGCUUUGCAUUUACCCCCUCCUGAGUUUCAUCUAUCAACACUAUAUCGUCUGCGAAAAGCAUACACCAAGGAAUAUCAUCUUGAAUAUGUCCUGUUAACUCAUCCAUUACCAACGCAAAAAGGUAAGGACUUAAGGAUGAGCCUUGAUGUAAUCCUACAGUUACGGGAAAGCUUUCGGUUUGUCCUUCAUGAGUUUUUACGGCAGUCUUUGCUCCUUCAUACAUAUCCUUUAUAGCUUGGAUAUAUGCUACUCGUACUCUUUUCUUCUCUAAAAUCCUCCAAAGAAUGUCUCUUGGGACCCUAUCAUACGCUUUUUCCAAAUCUAUAAAGACCAUGUGUAAAUCCUUUUUCCCAUCUCUAUAUCUUUCCAUCAAUCUUCGUAAGAGAUAGAUUGCCUCCAUGGUUGAGCGCCUGGCAUGAACCCGAAUUGGUUGUCCGAAACCCGUGUCUCUUGCCUCAAUCUAUGCUCAAUGACUCUCUUCCAGAGCUUCAUUGUAUGACUCAUUAACUUAAUACCCCUAUAGUUCAUGCAAUUUUGUACGUCGCCCUUAUUCUUGUAGAUAGGCACCAAAGUGCUCGUUCGCCACUCAUUUGGCAUCUUCUUCGUUUUCAAAAUCUUAUUGAAAAGGUCAGUGAGCCAUGUUAUACCUGUCUCUCCCAAAACUUUCCACACUUCGAUUGGUAUAUCGUCUGGGCCUAUUGCUUUUCUAUGCUUCAUCUUCUUCAAAGCUACAACCACUUCUUCCUUCCGGAUUCGACGAUAAAAAGAGUAGUUUCUACACUCUUCUGAGUUACUCAACUCCCCUAAAGAAGCACUCCUUUCAUGUCCUUCAUUGAAAAGAUUAUGAAAAUAACCUCUCCAUCUGUCUUUAACCGCGUUCUCUGUAGCAAGAACCUUUCCAUCCUCAUCCUUGAUGCACCUCACUUGGUUUAGGUCCCUUGUCUUCUUUUCCCUUGCUCUAGCUAGUUUAUAGAUAUCCAACUCUCCUUCUUUGGUAUCUAGUCGUUUAUACAUAUCGUCGUAAGCCGCUAACUUAGCUUCUCUGACAGCUUUCUUCGCCUCUUGCUUCGCUUUUCUAUACUUUUCACCAUUUUCAUCGGUCCUCUCCUUGUAUAAGGCUUUACAACAUUCCUUCUUAGCCUUCAAAGCAAGUGGUUCUUAAUGAGUUAAUCUCCAAUGAUAUUACCUCUCUCUCGAGUCUUUGGGUGGUAUUGCAAAACCAAUAUCAUCAUCUAUAGCAGUCUGUUGUAGUCAAAGUGUCGCAGUAGUUUCUUAGCCAUGCAGAAGCAGAUUUGAGGAUACGAAGUUCACCAUUGAGGAGAUCCUGAGCCAUUUGCCUCCAGAGAAAGUCUUUCGCAUGUAACUGGAGAACUUAUGGGUUCCAAAGACUAUGCAUGCACUCGAGAAGCACAAAAAGGAGUUACUACAUUUGUAGUCAGAUGCAACAUUAUGUAAACCAUAGAAAUGAUUAUAUUAAAAUUCCACUCUCUUCGUAUGUUUAUUACUGCUUCCCAAACUCCUACGACUUCUCCAGUUAUAAAAUUCCUCAACUUCAUUAACAUCUCAACCAAAAUGAGUAUAUUACUGCAACACGUCAACUGAUUCAGUAUGCGUAUGCUUAAGAAUUCUUUCUUUCACAAGAACCGUAAUUGGUGUAUGCUCUCGGAAUUAAUGCAUUAUCAUAGAAAAUAAUGAACUCUUGUUUAACUUAGCUUAGACAAGUUCUCUAAACAAAGGGGGUCAAAAGUUAGUAUCUUUUACCUGGAUAGAUGCAUCACAAUCCACAGCUGAUUGGGUUAAUUUUGAUAACAUCUGAUGUGCUUCAAUCUCUCUGCUGCUGUUUGUUAAAGGACGUCGAGCCAAUCAACCAUCAUGUUCUGUAACUUCUUUGGCCAGGUCACUAAGUUCUGAAUAUUAAGAAACAAUCAAUAAACUAUUUGCAGAUGAGUCAUAAGGUUAAAUGAGCUCAGAAGCAUAUUAAGCAAUGCAUGCGAGUAAGUUAACAUGAAGAGAAACACACCUUAAGGAGAGGCGCAACAUAGAACACGAGCAAAAGCACGAAGUGACUGAGGAAUUCCUUUCCCUUUUCCACUACCAGACCUAACUUCCCUAUGUCAUCAUACGAUUAUUGUAAUCAGUAAAAGAUUUUCAUCACAAGAUAUCAAGUCAUCACGCGGAUAAACGCAUUAGUUAAACAAGACUGGAAAUGGAACAAAAGAAACAGAAUAUUUGACUUCACAGAGUACCACUAGAUACGGGGGAUAAAGCCUAAAGGCCAUCAUGUAGGCAAAGGAACAUAAAUAGGGGAACAAAGGAAAUAAAAGAGAUACAGUGCAUCACUACCAACUUGAUAGUGAAAGAAUCCAUUGAAGAGUCAAAACCAUUGACAGCAUUACUGAUUGGUCUGUGAUCUCUCUU
This 49657-nucleotide long non-coding RNA is filed under the name Malus domestica (apple). RNAcentral describes it as "long non-coding RNA (MDOM_LNC001013)". The record is from RNAcentral. Lineage: Eukaryota; Viridiplantae; Streptophyta; Magnoliopsida; Rosales; Rosaceae.